RNAcentral lists this long non-coding RNA (52359 nucleotides) under Medicago truncatula (barrel medic). Its description in RNAcentral is "long non-coding RNA (MTRU_LNC005318)". The stretch from base 25168 to 25258 matches the Rfam family "MIR2617 microRNA precursor family". The record is from RNAcentral. Lineage: Eukaryota; Viridiplantae; Streptophyta; Magnoliopsida; Fabales; Fabaceae.
AAGGUUGAACACCUUAUAAGUAAGACGACCCAUAAAUCCAUUGCCUUAAGGUUUUGGGUAAGAGUGUGGUGUCUCUCUUGCUCGUGUAGUUGCUCUAGUCUUGAUGUGGACGGUCUCCCAGACUCUCCUCACUGACCCAACAGUAAGAUCGUUUUAAGCAAACAAAGGCAACGUACCUUUGAUGGAUUACAACCUUACUUUCAUUUUAAUUUGGGUAUACUGGCUUGUUCAAAAAGUGUGUAACUUAUCAGAUUUUAUAGAGAAAAAUAUACUUAGCAAUAACUUAUAAAUCAUUUCAAAGACAAAAUCAGUAAAGAACCACGAUUUGAUCCUACAGUUUGGCCAAACAGUGAUUUUUAUUUCAUUCAUAAUUUAUUCAUUAUUCCCAUACACAUAAUUAAAAGCAAAGCCUAAGGGACUUUCUCACAUCACAUGCAUGGUUAAUUACAUAGUUAAUUAACUACAUGAUGGAUAGCAGAAGUUAGUGAUAUCAUAGCAACGACACUGUGGAGGAAAAGACCGUGUGCAAAGGCAACUUUUGCAAGCUGAGUGACAUUUUUCUUUAACAUCAGUACACUGACAUUGAGGUGGGAUUGAUCUUGUGCAAGGGCAGAAAUCACAGCAUGCUGUUGUUGUGGAUUUGGUAUUAGCUUCACCAUUGGAGAGCAGUUGAGUGAUGAAGGAUGCCCGAUCGAAACGAGCAUCAACCAUGGUUGAAGUGAAGCUCAAGAGGAAAACCAACAAAGCUAACUUCAUCAUCAUUGCCUUCUUGUUCAUCAUCAACACCAUUAUCACUAUCUUUUUCUCACUUUCUCUCACUCUUACUAUUAUGUAUGUAUGUGUACCUUUUCAGCUAGCUAUAUGUGGGUCUAUUUAUAUACAACGCUGAUGUUUAGACACCAUUUUUUUUUUACAUAUAAUUCAACAGUACAUUUUAACUAUAUGAUAUUUUUUUCUUUCUAUCAUAUUUAUCACAUGAACUUUUUCUCUUUAUUUAAAGGUGUAUAUACCCAUUACAAACAAUUUUCUAUUUACAUAGGUGUUAUUCUAAAGAAAAAUGUUAACUAGUGCUCCAGACGAAACAAACAUAAUAAGAAAUUUUUAAACUUAUAUAAUCAAAUACUUAAAAGUAUUGAAAAUGUUCUUUUUAAUGCAAAACUUUAUUUUAUUAUUUCCAUUUGCAUAGGUACUAUUCCAAAAUAGAUGACUCCCUUAAAAUAAAUAUAUUUACAUGUGCACGCUAUGACACUUGAAAAAAAAAUUAUAGCAUGAUCCGCGUGUCCUAUGUAUACUACCAGUUAUUUCUACCAAAAAACUCUUAAAAAAAAGUUCUACCAAAAAAUUAUAAAAUACUAUAUUUUCUUUUCCCUUAAAAAAUAAAAAAUGAAUUUAUUAAUAACCAAAACCUGCAGAAGAUGAACAAAGACUGGCAAAAUGGAAACAACAAACAAAACGCAUCUUAUAUAGGCGAAACAUCCAAAUGAAAACCUAUACACCUCAAACAUCAAAACACCAAUAAAUACAUCACCCAACGAUGGCUACCCAAAAAACCAAUACUAAACUAACUACCAAAAUCAAAACCAACACCAAAAUCAAAGUCAAACAUCUGUCUGAACGUAUGCCAAAUCAUCAACCUCCAUCAUGAAUGACCACAUAACUAGUUCUAAACAUCUGUCUGCCACUACUCGCAUAGAAACCCCCAAAAAACCAACAACCCGACCAAAAUUCCUUUUAUAAAACUUCACAUUCUCUUUCACAAGUGAGUCCAAAUAAACAUAAAUAAACCGCUUAAGCGAACACUCAUUCAGAUUCCACCAUCAACCGACCACGAUCCACUAGAGAAUACACCAAAACAAAGCCAAAAAAUUAUGCUUGAAAACCGACUACCAAUCUUGAAGCAAAAGUAAUAGGCCCACCAGACUCUAUACAAAAAAAAUCACUAAGACACCCCUUAAAUCCCAACCCAAUGAGGAAGACACCAAAACCUUAAUUUUUUUUUCUUCAAACUGUUGUGAAUUCGUACAAAAUCACACCAAUGAAUAACAAAGAUGUGUGGAGCAAAGGGAAGUGGUAAUCAAUAGAUAAAGUGUCUCCAAGCAACAACAACAAAAACAGACCUAAAUCUAAGUGUAGAGCAACACCACAAGCAUAAUCAAAGCAAUAAAGAUAAGCAAUGAAAGAGAGGAACAAACACACCAAGAUUGUUGACCCAGUUCGGUCCAAUAUGACCUAAUCUAGGGGAGAGAGCAGCUCUCCAAUCCACUAUGAUGAAAGUGUUACAAAAGAGUUACAAGAAAUUAGCUUACAAGCUUACACAAGAACAAGACCUAAUUUCUACCCAUUUUUGUGUCACCCACUCUCACAAUAUGAAUCCUAAGAGAAAACACAAAAGGAAGCUUUUUGAUCCUUCCAAUGUUGAAAUCUCACUACCCAAGGUGUUUACAAUGUUUCCCAACCCUCAAGAGAACCUCACUAUAAAGACACUCAACCCAAAAGUUACCUCCUUUGUAUUCCCAAGUUUCUCUCUCAAAGCUCUCUUCUCAAAAAAUGAAGAAAGAAGCCUUAAAUAGUGUUCAGUACGCAGCAUCGUGCCACGUUUCGACCCAAUCGUGCCAUGAUGGAGCAGGUAUAGUACAGUAGUAUACCUUAUCCACUACAUCGUGCCACGUUCCUCCUGGAUCGUGCCUUGAUUUUUCAGUGACAAAGCCAAACCUGAACCAACCAAUCGUGCCACGUUGCCCUGCAAAUCGUGCCACGAUUCCUCAGUGCUUCCACAUCCAAUUCUUGAGUCAAUUUUCAACACAAACUAGACAAUAAUUCUUGACCUCGAAGCAAAAACAAUCGGCGCCCGAGAAUCCAAGAGACAAAUUCCUAAGGAAGUCAACAGGUGAAGGGGUGGUGCAAACCGAACUAACUGGAAAAAGGUCUCAGCUUGAAAACGACUCAACUUGAAACAACUGGAAUUGGAAACACAAAAAAUCAACCACAAGCCAAUCAUGAAACAAUCUAAAAUCGGCAAUAGCUAGCGGCGACAGAGAUGGACCUAGAUCGGAGGUCAGCACAAGUGGACAACGGAAAAAAAGCAAAAGAACCCAGAAUAAAAAACAACACACAAGCUCCUCAUCAUCAUUACAACCACCACACAAAAAAAAUAAAAUUAACAUUCAUAUAGCACCACCCAACACAAAACAAAAGGUUCGAGUGUAAAAAAAAACCACAAAAUCCGUGCACACCGAAACCGAUAAUAAUUCAAUAACAAAAACUGAGCAAGCAAAAACAAAUCAAGACAAAUCCAGUCCUAAGAGCAACACUUAUCCUUAAAAAUAACCAGCUCCCGCAAACACGAAGAUGCACAAAAAGUUGUGCACAAGACAACCAGCAAUAACAAAAAGUUUUGCACAAGACACAAAAAUCCACAAAAAAUAACCAGCUCUCGCAAACAUACCCGAAACAAAACAACCAUCUCGUAAACCUUUAUCGCAAACACGAAGAUCGAACGACACAGGAGGACCAACCAUUACUAUUGAGAAACUUCAUGCAAACCAACCGAACAAUAGCCACUCAACUUGAAUCUCAUAUCCGGAUUUAGUAUCACUAACCGCGAAGAUCAACUUAAACACCACCGGUCGCCAUAACAUCUCCACACAGCAGCAGAGAACAGUCACGAACAAAACCAAACAACUCAAAUUUCAAGCAUGUAACACAAAUAGAGAGAGAAGACGACCACGUUGGUGGUUAACCACCGUAAGCCAUCAAGAAACAAAGACAACAUACCUUUAUUGGAUUACAACCUUUAUUUCAUUUUAAUUUGGGUAUACUGGCUUGUUCAAAAAGUGUGUAACUUAUAAGAUUUCAUAAAAAAAAAUAAAAAAUAAAAAAUAAAAAAAAAAAAAAAAACUUAACAAUAAAUUAAAUUAGAUAAUCAACUAAAUAAUUUCAAAGACAAUAGCAGUUAAAGAAACACAACUUGACCCUACAGUUUGUCAAAAACAAACUGCAUAUAUGGCCAAACAGUAAUUUUUAUUUCAUUCAUUCAUAGUUUAUUCAUGAUUUCCAUACACAUAAUUAAAAACAAAGCCAAAGGGACUUUGUCACAUCACAUGCAUGGUUACAUAGUUAAUUAAUCACAUUGAUAGCAGAAGGUAGUGACAUCAUGGCAACGGCACUGUGGAGGAAUAAACUUUGUGCAAACGCAAUCUAAGCAACCUGGUGAGUUACAUUUUUCUCUAACAUCAGUACACCACACAUGCUUGUGGGAAUGAUCUUGUGCAUUGGCAGCUAUUACAGCAUCCUGUUGUUGUGGAUUUGACAUCGUAAGCAGCUUCACCAUUUGAGAUUACUUGAGUUAUGAAGGAUGUUGGAUCGAAACGAGCAUCAACAACAGUUGAAGUGAAGCCCAAAAGAAAAACCAAUAAAGCUAACUUCAUCAUCUCACCACCAUUAUCACUAUCUCUUUCUCACUUGCUCCCUCGUAGUAAGUACUAUUUAUGGAUAUCUUUCUUUGCAGCUAGCCACAUGAGUCGAGACAACUACUACUUUUAAUUUCUACCGAAAAAAUGUAGAGCAAUGAUAUUUGUACAUUCAUUCCAUGACAACUUUAGUGACAAUCUUGUUUUUCUCUCUUUUUAUUGAUCAAAAACAAUGGAGAGAGAAAAAGAAAGAGAGAGGAUAAGAUCAUCAUAUGAGUAUGAGAGAGAAAGUUAUACAAAAGUUGUCACAAAUUGAUUGUACAAAUAUCAUUUCUCAAAAAUGUAUAAUACUAAUAUUUUCCUUCUCCUGCGUUCCGUUUUUGUGUUCUUAAUUUUAGGUAAAAUCACAUCACGGGUCGUUUAUUGUCAAAGAAUGACAAAAUAAUAAAAUAUAAUUAAGUUAAUGAUACAAUUAUAUCACGGGCAGUUUAUUGUCAAAGAACAGCAAAGUAAGGAAGAACCCGCGAGAUGCAAAAGAAAUGACGACAUAAGAGGGUUGUGAUGGUGGCCUGUGGCGGAGAAUGGCGAGGAGAGCCUUUGUGUUUCUAUGUUUUUUUUUUUAUUUUGUUCAUUUUUUUGUGGACUAGGGAAGAGAGAACAAAGAUAAGGUUUUGAUAAGGAAUUUAAGGAGAGAGAAAGAAAAAAAAAUUAAAACAAAAUGUCACAUAGGUGUAUAGGUUGUUGACACACACCGUAUAUUCCUACGGUUAAGGGUAUACAAGUCAAGUUUUUUUAAUCAUUCUUUACAAUCUUGGAAAGCGUGUCAUCCUUAAUUGCUCAAUGGAAAAUGAUGAGUGUUAUUUGAACAACCAAUUUGGUGACAACUUAUUUGACAAUUAUAUUUUACAAAGAAAAAAGUGGUAUUGGCACGGAAACCAUAACAAUAGAGAGAUAAAGUAAAAAGUAAUGUGAGUAUGAGAGAGAAAGUUGUUGUAAAAGUUGUUACUAAAUGGAUGUUCAAAUAUCAUUUCUCAUGGAAAAAAUACGGUGUGUGGAAAGUUGUUGGUUUUUGGUUGUUAAAAUAAGGCUUAAUUGCACUUUUUGCCCCCUAUCUUUUCAAAAGUUGCGAUUUUGGCCCCCUAACUAAUUAAAAUACAAAACAACCCCCUAUGUAUUGGAUCUUUGCUAGUUUUGGCCCCCAAGGCCACUUUUGACCCCCUAUCUUUCCACUUUGGGGGCCAAAACUGCCAAAGAUCCAAUACAUAUGGGGUUGUUUUGUAUUUUAAUUAGUUAGAGGGCUAAAAUCGCAACUUUUGAAAAGAUAGAAGGUCAAAAGUGCAAUUAAGCCUUAAAAUAAUAGUGCUCGGUGUAUAUAUGGCUGUUUUGGACAAAAUGGAUGUUCAUAAUUGAUUUUGGAGGUGUAGAAUUGAUCCUGACAUGUUUAAUUGUUGUUGAGUAUGAUUGAUUCUGUCUUUAGAGUUGUUCUACUUAAAACUAGGAUCUGUAGCUUUUGAUUUUGAAAUUGAUUUUCAAACAUAAAUCUAAAUCAAUUCUAUCAAAAUUAACUGUUCCAACAGCACAACCAAACACAGACUUCGUUGAAGAAGUUGAUUCAUCUACGUAUAUACAGCGAGUUAAACUUCAGCUGUAAAACUCGUUAGACCUCUUGUCACUUAUAAAACUUAGUAAACAUGUUAAAACACACAAAUAUCCCCAAAAGGGAGAUGGAUUGAGCUUACUACCCUAAGUGCGGAGACACAAAGAUCAAGACAAACCCAAAACCUCGUUCAAAACCAUCCUAACCCAUCUCCUCCUUAACUAACUACAGUCUUAACAUACAACCUUAAUUCAGAUUAAUUUUUUAAGUUAUAUGUGAUAAGAAACAAACUUCUCCAACUCAGCAACUCAAAAAAGUUGAAUAUCAUUAAAUUUCAAUUUUUUUUUACUUAUUUAAUCAUAAUUAUUAAACUUUUGACAUGUUAAUUAAUUAAAUUAUAAACUAUAAAAGAUUAUACUAGUUAAUAGAAAAAUUAAUAUUGCCAAUUUAUUCCAUCAAUCAAUAUUUAUUGAUUUGAGUUUGUACAUUUAUUACAAGAGUAGAUGUAAUCUUCGCAACGGCAUGUAGGAGGCAACCCUGAGUCACAAACGCAAUUAUCGCAACCUGGGUGACAAGAUCGUCCUGUAGCAUCAUUACAACGACAUGGAGGAAAAGUCAAACUUGAGCACUCACAGUCAUUACAGCACCCUUCGUUAUUUUGCUCUUGAGUGAUGAAGGUUGUUGGAUCCAAACCAGCAUCAACUACAAUUGCAAUGAAACCUAAGAGGAAAAGCAAGAAAGAUAACUUCAUUAUUGCUCUCGAUAAUUCUUUAUGACACUUGCAAAGAGGCAAGCAACUACAUGGGUCUAUUUAUAUAGAGUGCAUUUUAUUUAAUUAUUUAAAUUAAAUAUUCACAAUAUAUGAAAACCCAAAAGAUUUAUUUUAAAUAAUAUUUUUAAUAAGAGUCAAUCAUGGUGGUCAAUAGUGAUUAAUACGGUAUUAAACUUUUGAUUAUUUUUUGAAGAAAAAAAUCUAAAUAUUAAUUAAAGGAUUAAACAUGUUUUUGGUCCUUAUAAAUAUAAUAACUUUUUGUUUUAUCUCCUCUAAAAUUUUCCUUCAACUUUUAAUUCCUAUAAAAUUUUCAACCAACACUUUUUGAUCGUACCUGAUCAGAAGGUGACUGCGGGUGCUUUAAAUGUGGUGGUUUGAGGGGUGGUGAAAUGCGCCAAAAUGCUUCUUGGAGCGGAUGGGGGCUGUGUACCUGCAGAGACUCCGACGCUCAAGUAAGUAGAGAUCAGAGAGUGAGGGUUUAGAGGAAGAGAUAGAUUCUACCUUGGGGACUGCUAUGAGUCCCCUAUUUAUAGAGGUGGACGGCUGCAGAGCCGUUGUAAUGACACACCUGACUCUAGAAGUUACGAAAUCGUGGGAAGUGUAACUGCUAGAGAGUUUAUUGCGGGAACGUGCAGAGAGACGUUGUGGUUCGUUUGAACCAGUCUCGUUCGCUCCGUGCACCCCCUUGUGGGAAAGGGGUGUGUCACAAGUAACUUUGCCAAACGUGGUGUUUGGGCUUUGGGUUGUAUUGGGCCUAAAUAAAUGGGUCAAAUGUCGUUUGGCCGGUCCAGAACACUUUUGGUCCCUACUUUUAAGUAAAUUUUUGUAUUUUUUAAUGAAAUUGUGCAGAAAUGUAUAGAAUAUUGUAAAAAUCACUCAAAAAAAUUAGAAUUUUUUAACAAAACAAAUUAAAUAUGAAUUUUUUACCGCAAAAAAUAUAAAAAUUCAUAUUUAAUUCAUUUUUCGGUAAAAAAAUUCUAUUUUUUUUUGGACAGGUCCUUAAAAUAUUAUAAAUUUUUUUGAAAUUUUUUAUUCAAAAAUAUGAAUUAUACAUAUUAGUUUACUUUAAAAUUGCGACCAAAGUGAAGAUGAAGAAAUUUUUUAGAGGGACUAAAAUGAAAAGUUGAUAUAUUUAUAGGGACCAAAAACAUAUUUAACCCUUAAUUAAAUGAUAUAAUAUAUAUAAAAUGUAGGGGGAUGAUUAGCUCAUUUGAUUGAACUUAAAAUUUAAAGGAGGUAAGGAGUAAAGUUUCAGGUUCGAAUUUUGACAAGAGAAAAAUAUAUAAAAAAAAAUUAAAAUGUAAAAAAGUCAGAAAAGGUGAUGGACGAACACAAACAUGGUUUUAGUUCAAUGCCCCGAAGCGUGAAUCACCCAUCGCGAGCUGGGGGUUCUACCUUACAUGUCGAGCGGUGAUGUAGUAGUUGAGAGCUAACAUACCGAGAAGUUAAUGAUUAUGUUGUUUAGAUUUCAUUUAUCCUUUAACUCUUUUUGGAUUGAUGGAACAGAACGGGGUGGAACGGAAUUGAAUAGAAUGGAAUGAAGUGGAAUGGAAGGGAAUGUAACAGAGUUUCCAUUCCAUUGUUUGAAAAACACAUGGAAUGGAACAAGUUAUGACUUAUUUAAUUCGAUUUUUUACCCUUAUUUAAAAAAAACUAUUGUUAUUAAAUAAAACAUAUUAUUACCAAAAUCACAUCACCUUAAAGUUAUUACUAAACGUGUAUACAUAUGAUUUUUUUUUUGUUAUAAUCAACAAAAGAAGCGAUUGAAAUUAAUUUCAGACACUCAAGAAAAGAAUGCAACAUUCUGUCCAAAAAAGGAAGAAAACAAAUAAACAACGUGAUAUUCAGUUCAACGUGUCUUUUUUUUUAUUAUUUUUUUUUAUGGUGUUUAGGGUUCGAACCCCAGACCUUUUGUAUAUUUUAUGCAUUGUUUUUACCAACUGAACUAAGCUCACGUGAACUCAGUUCAAUGUGUCUUACGAAGCAUACAAAUUUUGAAUACAAUAUUGCUGGAAAACAGAAUGAUCAUAGAGGGAAUAGACUAAAAAAGGCAUAAGCUCUCAACGAGAAGACAAAUGUUUAAAAUUAAAAUAUGUAUACACACUGAAAUGUUUUAAUUGAAAAAACUUCAAGUAGAGUGCAUUUGAGAGAAGGAAACAAAAUAAUGAUAAAACGAAAAUAGAGGUAAAAUGGUAAUAUUUAAAUUAUAAAGUUUCAUUCCAUUACAUACAACCUGAAUUGAGGGAAUGAAAAAUUGAACGGUUGGAUGGUAUGCGAUAAAAUGUGUUCCAUUAUGUUCCCUAACCUCCAUUAAGUAUUUGUAAAUCUAAACAAUGGAAUAUAAUAAAAUUUUUUUUUGAAUAAGUUAAAAUGGAAUAUAUUAUUGAACACCUGAAGAUUUUAGCAUAAGGAGUGCCAAAAACUCAGCUGAAAGAGUAUCAAAUACAAUAAAAAAAAAAUACGGGAAACAAAAACAGGAAAAACCAACAAAGAGAGCUACCCUAUGGAAUAUAAUAACUUACCACUCAAUUUCAUUUCAUUUCAUCACUUACCACCAAUCCAAAUAUAGCCUUAAUGAUUUUAGAUUUUUUUAAGAAUAUUUUACACAUUUUUACACAAUUUCAUUAAAAAAAUAUAAAAAUUAAAUUAAAAAUAGGGAGCAAAAGUAUUGAUUGAAAAUUUCAUUGGAAAAUUUUAAAGGAGCCAAAACGAGGUAUAUUUAUAACACCAAAAACUUACUAGUUUGGAGAUGUCGUGGAGGCACUACUACAAAAUAUACAUUUAAAAUCAAGGGGGUUUAGUUUUCACUUUGACCUUAUCCCUUCCUCCCUCUAUCGUAAAACAUAUCCAGCCAAUCGUAAAACAAGUUUUGCAAGCUCACCGUCAAAAAACAAAUUUUCACUCUCAAUAAAAAAACAAUCGAACCUCUCUCUCUCUCUCUCUCUCUCUCUUUUGAGAAUUUUCUCUCUCACCGUUGCUGCUCAAGCUCUCUCUCCGGUGAGUUCUCUCUCUCACCGUCGCUGCUCAAGCUCUCCGGUGGAUUGUUUGGGUCUUGGCUAACUCUUGAUUGACUUUGUAUAUCUGUAAUUUUUUAGUGUCCCCUUGGUACACCUUGUACUAGGGAGAGUCCUUGGUUUCUUAAUAUAAGUUCCAUUUUUUAUUGUUAAAAAAAAAAACAUUCUUAUAAUCAAAUUUGUUUAAUUUUGAUGCUUAUGAGAGAAGGAAAGAGGUGUGAUUGCCCCCAAACACAUUGUCAGACCACGCCUAGAACUGAACAUCUGGAGCGUUAAUAUAAAUGGUGUGUGGAAAAAUAAAAAAUGUAUUGAAUAGAUCACAAUAAUAAUUCUAUAUCAUUAAAUUUCAAUAAAAAAUAUUUAUCAAAUUAAAUCAUAAUUAUUAAAAUUUUGAAAUGUUAAGUUAAUUAAAUUAUAAGCUAUAAAAAAUUGUAAUAGUUUUUUUCAAUAUUUUUAAUAAUUCAAAAAAUAAUUAAAAAUAUAAAAAUAAUAUUGUCAAUUUACUCCAUCCAUCAAUCAAUAUUUAUUGAUUUGCAUUUCGUUUGCUUUGGUUCUUAAUUAGCUCCAUCUUUGGAGUUUGUACAUUUAUUGCAAGAGAAGAAGUAAUCAUUGCAAUGACAUGUUGGACCUGUUUCACAAGCGCAAUUAUCGCAGCCAGGGUUACAUUCUCGUUUUGAAUCAUUACAAGUACAGGGAGGAAAAGUCGAACUUGAGCAUGAACAAUCAUCACAGCACACUUCGUUUAACAAUUUGAAAUCAACACCAUUGAGGGUUGUUGGACUUGGAUCCAAACGAGCAUCAACCAUAGUUGCAAUGAAGCCUAAGAAAAGCAACAAAGAUAUCUUCAUCAUUGCAUGCAGCUUGUUCAACUGCAUUAUUACUCUCAAUAUUUCUUUAUCACACUUGCAAGAGACAGGCAACUACAUGGGUCUAUUUAUAUAGAGGGAAAUAUUAUUUAAAUAUUCCCUCAUGUCAUUAUUACAAGCAAAAAUCAACUUUUUAGGUUCAUUUAUUAAAUAAUGUAUUUGGUCAAUAAUAUGGAUCAAAUACAUCAUUUAAAGAAUGAACAUAAAAAGUUGAUUUUUGCUUAUUAAAUAUAUGUUAAAAACUAAAAGAAAAAAAUGGUUAUUUUUAAGUGAUAGUCAACCAUGGUGGUCAAUGGUGUUUAAUAUGGUACUAAAAAAAAGAUGUUUACCAAAACAAAUUAAUAUAUUUAAUAGAUGGAUUUGAGGUUUUCUAUGAAAUAUUUUGACUUCUUUAAAAAAAAAAUGGAUUGAUUGGAUAUGCAUCAUUUGAAAAUAUAACAGUAGAUCAAUUGAAUUUUUUUAAAGAAUAUUUAGUUGGUAAAUGUUAAUAUGUUAUUUAUUAUUGCUAGUUUUACCAUUGUCAAGAUUUGAAACCUGCACUUUUAACUUCUCAACUCCUUUAAUCAUGGCUUAAAUGCUCUUUUGGUCAUUUAAGUAUUUAUUUGGUAUUGCUUUGAUCCCUUAAAUAAAAAAAAUAUUGUUUAAGUACUUUAAGUAUUUUUAGUCUCGUUUUGGUCCUUUCUGUUAGGUUUUCGUUAGGUUUUAAAAAAAAAAGUUAACUCCUGGACACCUGUCACCUUGUCAUUGGCUCUGAGUUUUUUUUUUUUAAAUAUAUAUAUUUUUUUUUAGGGACCAAAGGAGCAUUUAAGCCUUUAAUCAUUUAGUUCAAAUCAGUUGAUCUAACAUCCAACACAUCUAUUUUGUCAUCUCUACUUGAAAUCCCCCAACACUCACUACUUUUUUUUUAGGGGUAUUGCUACUUUUAUGGAUUUACACAUGUUAAUUUCUUCAGAUUUUAUUUGUGUGGUGUAUUUUUUUUAUGGGUUAAUAUAAUAUGCACCUCUAAGAAAACAAUUAUAAUAAAAUGGAGAGGUCAAACAAUACUCCCAAUCUAAUCUAAUAUGAUAAAAGUCAGUAUUAUAUAGAUUUAAUUUAUAUAUGAGACAUUCCCAAUAGGGUUGAAUUCACACCAAUGUACCAAAAUGAUUUAAAUCUGAAUUCAUCCUCACUCUUUAUAGAAACCUGACCCAGAAUUAAGAACUUACUUAUGUUAUUAAUUAAUCCAGUUUAGAAUAAGCUAGGUUUAAAUUAGAUGUCAAAACAAUAUUAUAGAAUUGUUGUAAAUACUUGAAGAAGAGGAACAAAACUCUCCACAACACAGUGACUUAGCAAAAGGAGGAACAUAACUCUACUUAAUAUGACAAGAUGCAUGCUCAAACUGAAAGGAACACCAACACUUAAUAAUUGUAGUGCAUUAUUCUUCAUAAUCAACCCUUUUGCACAAGUUUCCCAACACUUAAUAGUUUGCAUCACAUUCUAAGAACAUACAAUACUUCUUCUAUUACAACUAUCUUGUCAUAGUUUCUUUCAAUAAAAAUCUUUCUCAUUCCUUCUGUUGGUAUAUGCUAGCUUCACCUUUGUCAUUUUGUUUGUAUUAAACUCUUUCAGCCAUUCUUUAUUGUUUGACAUGUAGUUAGAACAAUCAAUAUCUAAAAACCAUCUUUCUGAUUACAACUUUUAUUACUGGUUGUCAUCAUCAAAAGUCAAAACAACCGGAUUUGAGCAUGAGUCUUCUUGAGCCUUUUUUACCAUCUUUCUUGGUAAUUUGGACUUGUAAGGCUUGUUGAACUAAUAUUUUGGUUCCUCUUAUCAUUUCUUCUAUCUUCAUUGUUGUUACAUCCUUUGAUUCUUGAAUUACAACAACUAUGAAAUCAAACUUUGAAGUUAAGGUCCUAGUUACCUUUUCAAUCACUUAUUGAUCAGUAACAACAUCACUACAUGCUUUCAUUUGAUUCACCAUAGUGAUCAAUCUUGAGAAAUAAUAAGCUAUCUUUUGAUCUUCCUCCAUAUCCUUUCUUCUUAAAGAUUGAAGCUUGACCUACUUUACUUUGUCUACACCUUCAUGAUACUUCUCUACUAUGUUCCAAGCUUCCUUGUAUCUUGUCACCUUUGAGAUUUUCUCAAAAAUGUUUGUAUCAACACCUUACUAAAUAUAGAAUAACACUUUACAAUCUUUCUUCUUUGCAUAUUUUAAGUUUGUUCUUUGAUCCUCUAUUUGAUUUGCACCAAGUUUUUCGUAUCCAUUUUGCAUAAUUUCUAGCACUUCUUAUGCUCCAACGGUCUUCAUCAAUGGGCUCCAUCUUUCCCAAUUACUUCCAUCAAGAAUAGAAAAAUUUGCACCAAAAUUGCUUUUCCAUUCAUGAUUUCUUGCAAGAAACUAUAUGGGAUCACUCAACCUAAAUUAUGUUUCCUAGAAUCGUUUUCCCCUCACAAUCUCUCGUGUUUCCUGAUAAAAAAACCAAAGGCUCCGGAUGCCAAUUUGUUAACACACCAUUUUCUUAAUUCUCAAGUAAUGAGUUAAUUUAGAGAAAUUGAGUGAGAAGAGAAAGUUGCACUAUGGAUUGUAGUUCUGGUAAAUUUUCAUCGAGUGAAUGAAAUGAACAUUACAACCUUUUAUAGUUAUGUUGGAUAUAGGAUAUCAUUUUCAUCGAGGCCAAACAUUAACGUAUAUCUUUUUCUUUACAGGUAUGUAGGAUAUCAUUUUCCUCUCUACUUUUAUUAAAAUUUAGAUUAGAUGUGGGCACAUCUAAAUUUUAAGCUUGAAUUUUACAUUUAAAACCAAUUAAAAUCUGAACUAUCCGAUCGUGAGUGAACGGUCCAGAUAUACUGACAACAUGCGGUUGGACUAGAAUCCAAAUUCGUGGGCCCGAGAGUUCAAAAAAUAAUACAUCUUAUUUGAGUAGCGAUAGCGAUAGCGAUAACUAGGAUGGAAAUAGGCUAGAUCGUUAGCCCCGGACCAACGACCUAGCCUACGCCAGGUCAGACUUUUUCUUAAAUAGGAAAGGCCUAUACUUUUAGGCUUUUUAGCUUUAAAUAGGUUUUUUAGAAGUCUAUUUAGCUUUAAAGGUCAUGCCACAAACUAUUAGAAAAGCCUUUUAGGCCUAUUUGGCCGGCCUAGUUAUGUAAAUAUGAAUAAUAUUAUUGAUUAUUAUAUUAUAUACUCUACUUUGAAUUAAAUUUAUGAACUUAUCAGCCUUUAAAGUAAUUUAAGUUUAUUAUAGUUUACAUUAUCUAUCGCAUAUUUAAAUGUAUUAUUAUAUAUUAGACUCGAAAUAUGAUAUAAUAUAUAGUAAAGUUCUCUAAAAUUUCAUGUUAAAUAUUGAAAUAUCGAAAGAGAGUUUAAUAUCGUCGAUUUAUUAGCUCGCUAGUCUAUUUAACUUGGGAUCACGUUACUUAUUUAAAUAUAUGUUCAUAUGAAAUAGGCUUUUAAACAUACUAGCAGACAUAAUGAGGCUUUCAUAAGGUCAGACUCAGACCUAAAAAGUAAGUUUAUGCCAUAUCGCAAGCUAUGCUUAACCCUUACAAAUAUUUGACAGGUCAGACUCAAAGCCUAACUCAGCCUAAUCUAUUUCCAUCCCUAACUAUAAUGAUCUUAUCCCAUACGUGUUCUCAUGGUGAAUAAAAAAGCAGGAAGUCUCGUGUACAUGAUAAGAUUUGGACACAUUAUUAAUGUACACUAAAAAGUGAAAUCAUAGAAAGAAAGAAAAAAAAUUAAAUGAUGUGUUUUAUUACAACAAUUAAAUGUAUAAUUUUGUGUAUAUGCACAAAUACGUUUUCGUUUGAGAUCCUGACCAAUCAAGUAUUUUUUGUACAAAGUGGUCCUUAUAGUGUAUUGUAUGUCUUGUUGGCGAAUCACAUUAAUCAGCAGGAGGGCUCUCUUAAUAAAUUCAUAGGCUCGGUUUUAAUUUUAUAAGAGAAGCAAAAAAAAAAAAAAAAUUGGGCCCCAAAGAAAAUAUAUUAAAAAUCACACUUUGGUGAGUAUACCUCACACUCAACAAAAAAUGGCCACGCCACUAAAGCAAGUUGUACAAAUUAAAAUAAUUUGCUUUUAAUAGAUAUAUAAUCAUUAUUUUCGUGUCUUACAUAUAAAAAAUAUAUAUUUUAGAUUCCAAAAAAUUGGAGGCCCGGUGUCAUCGCCCAGCUUCGACGGCUAUGGGCCGGCCCUGAUCAGCAGGCCAUACGGUCCAUAACUCUGUUAACAAAAAUUGGGUGAAAUUAUUUGAUUUUGUUUGAAUGCAACAAGAGGAAAAUUUUCAGCCAAAUAAAUAGUUUUGUUGUGAGAUGUAGAUUUGGGAUUAUAUAAUUCAUUAAGUUUAACACCAAUAAUUUUAGAUUCAGAUAGUUAUGAAUUUGUGAACAUUGUAAUUGAAGUUUUCCAGCUUAAUGAUUGCAGCAAUACUGUGUCCCCAUCCGAAAAUAAUUCAUAGAUAAUCAAAUAAUAGAGAGAGAAAUCAACAGCGUCAGUGGGCAGUGGCGAAGCCAUGUUUGUUCAUGUGGGUCAGAGUCCAUCCCAUCAAAAUAAUUUAAAUUUAUUAUAGGAAAAAUUACUAUAAUAUUCUUCGUUUGAAAUAAAGUUACACUGGGGUUCACUCUCUUCCCCAUCUCGAAAUACAUUAUAAUCACAUUUUUAGAUGAGUCUAAACGCGUAGAUUAUUAAUUUAAAUUUUUAAAUAUGUAGUUUAAUUUUAUUUUUUUGACACAUGUAGUUUAAUUUUAUUUUUUAAUGAUUAACUUGUUGGGAAGUUCGGGAGAAACAACAGGUUCAAUGCUCCAAGACCAUUAGAGAGGAAUUUUCACAUCUCCCCCUAAAAUUUAAGUUAUUAGGUAAAUGAGUCACCACUUUUAUAUAUCCAAUAUUUUUACCAAUCACAUGUGAUGUGACACUACUUAACUUUUAAUAGUUGAAACCCAACAAUCUCUCUCGGAAAUGUGAGCUUCACCUUCUAUAUCAGGAUCCAACGCAAAAUUCACUUCCGCUCUCCCACCAAAUUGAACCAGAGCUCAUAUCUCAUUCGUUCGGGAGUUCGGAGGUCGCGGAGAAAUAACCGACCAAAGGAUAUCCAAGAUCACAAGAGAGUGAUGUCACAUCUCCACCAAAAACCUUAAUGCAUUAGAUUAAUAAGAUCACUUCUCUUAUAUAUCUAUUAUUUUUUCAAAUCAUAGAUGUUGUGAUACUUAACCACUUACACUUAAAACUCAACACAACUUUGUGUUUUAUGCUUAUAAAAUCAUAAAUCUUGUGUUUGCCUAUAGAAAAAUUCUAUGUGAAGUCACAUGAAUGACUUUUCUGGUGAAGUUAACACUGUAGUAUCAAAAGUGUUGUGAGUAACACUCCACUGUUUGUACAAUGACAUCAAAAGUUCAGUCCUCAUAGUAUCAUCAAUUCAUCAAACUAACAAGAAUACACUUAAUCUAAUUUUAUCCUACCUUGUUUUAAGUGUUACACUUAAGACUAUCACAUAAUAUCAUCAACUCUGUUUGCAUGUUAAAAUGCCAACGAUAAAAUAGUAUCUGUAAGUCCAAGAUGUUGCAAGCAUUACUAGAUGAAUUACUAUUGAUCAUGAAUCAGUAAUCAACAAUUUAAAAAUGAAUCAAACAUUAAGAUUAAAAUUAACUUUUUCAAAAAAGUCAGUUUUCUGACUGCAUCGUAGAAGCUCCCCGGUCUAUGUAUAGUUUAUUUUGGUAUAGUUCAUAUACCUCUUAUGGAUUGCAAGCAUACUUUCAUUUUUAAAUGGGAUAUAUUGGCUCAUUCAAAAAGUGUGUUACUUAUAUGAUUUCAUCAAACUACUUUGCAAUAAUCUGAAUUAGAGAAUAAUCUAAAUCAUUAACAGGCAAAAAAACGUAAAAACAAACAGUAACUUUUAUUCCAUUCAUAAUUUCUUUUUAAGAAGCAUUAAUAAAUUUUUAUUCAUUUCCAUACACACGAUUUAUUAAAAACAAAGCGAGCCUAAGAAACAUUGUCUCAUCACAUGCAUUGUUACAUACUUUUCAGCUUACUUAAUUACAUUUUUUGUGACAGAAGCGAGAUUGAAAUAAAUCAUCGCAAUAGCACUGUGGAGGAGAAGAGCCUGGGCAAAUGCAACUUCUGCAACCUGAGCGACAUGUUUCAACAACAUCAACACAACGACACAUAGAAGGGAUUGUUUUUGUGCAAAUGCACUUAUUACAACAUGUUAUGGCUGUGAAUUUGACAGUGUAAUUAGUAGCAUCACCAUUAGAGACAACUUGAGCUAUGAAGGAUGUUGGAUCGAAACGAGCAUCGACAGUCGCCGUGAAACUUAACAGGAAAACCAAGAAAGCUAAGCUUAUCAUUGUUGCCUUCUUCUUCAUCAACUCCAUUCUUGCUCUCGAAUUUCACAAUUGCUCUCUUUCUACUUAGUAUUAUUAUGUGUCUUUAUUACUUUGCUUUGUGAAGAAGCAUAUGCAGCUACAUGGGGUCUAUUUAUAUAAAAAAGUGUCGGUUUCCGUUUCCUUUCUAUUUUAUUGUCAAAAUUGGAAUUAUUAAGUAGGGAUUGAUCUUGUUGCUUUAUUAAGAAUUAGAAAGGAAAAUGUUUAAGAAUGUUCUUAGAGCGUUAUAUAUUUUCCUUUCCUUGAUUUUUUAUUAUUUGUAGCUGACACUAGUUGUUUUAAUAGAGAAACUUCACCUUCUCUAAGUUAAGGGAGAGAGAAAGGUGGUUUUAGGUCAAUUUUUUUUUGCCUAGAAUCACCUCCCUUUUCUCCUUUUUUUUUUAAUCUAAGUAAGUGGUUUUCAAGUUUGUGGAAAAAAAAAGUGGUUUCCACAUAAAUCGAGUUUUUCCUAGUGUUUUUUUCUUUGUUCGUUGUCUAAGGCAUUAUGUUGUUUGUAGUCUUAUGGAGCGUUAUUUUUUUUUGUCUUUUUACAAGGUUCAUUUAAUUCUUAUUGAAUAAUUGACUUUAAUCAAUUGCCAAUUCAUUCAAUAAUUUGGUUGUCAAAGUUACAAAUCUGAAAGCAUGAAUAUUUAAGUGAUUAUCGGUCGUUUAGCAACACUUCUAAAGUGUUACAAAUUGAUUUCUCACUUGUGCUGCAAUGAAGAAACAUUUCACUAAUUCCAAUUAGUCUCUUAGCAAUGAAAUUUUUCAUGAAUUGCUUUUUUAUCCACCAACUCUUUGUCUUUUCCUCUAUUUAUUCUAUUUCUCUUGAUAUUACCUAUUUAUGGGAAAAUAAGGAAAAAGUAGUAAAAUACUCCUAAAAAUACUAAUUUAUUUAACAAAAUAUAGUAAUAAAAUAUGCAAAUAAUAAUGUUAUCAAACUUCCUCAUGCUCGAACCAUUGCAUGCCCUCGAACAAUUAGUGAUGCAGGAGGGUUUUAUUAGUAAUUUAGUAGUAUUUUAUUAUUUCAUUUUGUUUUAUUUCGGUCUAGAACCUUCUUUUAAUAUUUCGGCCCACAGAUUUGUCAUUUCUUUUCCUAUUUAAACAGAACAUUAUGUAACCUAAGAGGUAACUAUUCAAUAAAAUUAUUUAAGAUUUUUUCUUAAUUUCUGGUGGAUUCAAGAACGUAGCUUGCAAACUUUUUCUUUUCAAUCUAGGUUUAGCGCUUGCUAACCCUACGCUUCCGUAGUGAGUCAAUUAUCUUAGGUAUAAACAAUUUUAAGAUAAGCAUUACAUUAUGGACUAAAGAAGUAAUGUUCAAUUGCAUGCAUUAGUAAAGAAAAUAAAUACUAAUUAACCCUUGACAUAAGAAUACAAUCGAACCACCGUUGUUUUUUUUAUCAUUUUUUUCUGAAAGAUGUAGAUGAUUUAGAAAGGAUGACAUUUCUCUAUUGAAACUUCAUUCCAUUAAACCACUUCUCACACAUUAGAAUGAACAGAGAUGGUGAUUUUUUCCAGUAAGGGGAUAAACAUGUGGAAAUGAUUUCCAAUAUUCAAAACAUGAUUGAUUAGAAAUAUUAGAUAAUGGAUAAUGCAGAUCGUUAAUGCUCUAAACGGCUUAGAUGAAGUAAUUUUAACUUUAGAUGAGCAGUUCAUUAUCACUAAACGAUGGAACAUGUUACCACAAUACACUAUGAGUUUGUUAUUUGAACAAACUACACUAAUUCGAUGCAAUUUUAUUAGGACAAUUAUGUUACAUUGAACUUGUACUCUUCCCUUCAAAUUCCAAUGUCAUAUAUUAUGUUUACAUUGAUACAAAUCUUCACUUCAUUAUUUCUAAUAUUUUUCUCUCUGUCUUACUAACCUCUCUUUUAGAUAAUAUAAAGUUAAUAAAUUUAUAUGAAAAAAUUAUAGAAACUAAUAAAUCUAGUAGUAGUGUUAAAAGGAACAUAUUGUUAUAAAUAUUAAUAUUGGAUGUCCAAAUAGCAAAUGUGUUAGUGGGUCAUACUACUAGGUUAUUGGGCUUAGUUCAUAAGCUACUCUAUUUCCCUAUAAAUAGAGCUCAUUUGUAACAUUGAUACACACAUUAGUGAAUAAGAAUACUGCUUCUAUUCUUUCUUCUUCUCCUUCUCUCUAUUACUCUUUCUAUUUACUUAUUUUCAUAACACGUUAUCAGCACGCUCUAAUCACCGAAAAGGUAUUAAUAUAAUAUAUUUCACUAAUUCAUAGUUUGUUUUCCGUUGGAUAUCAUGUAAAAAAUGUAGCUGUGUAUAUACGUGAAUAGGAUCAUUAGAAAUUGGUUUUUAUUCGUUGUGCCUAUUUAAUUGUUGUGAUAAUUAUACUCUUGUAUCGAUGAUUAUAUAUUACUGUUAUAAUUCCAUCAAAUGGAAUCAGUACCUUAUACUCCCUCCGUCUCUAAUUAUAAGACCCUUUUGCUAAAAUCACGGGAAUUAAGAAAGCGGAUAUUUGUAUUAAAGUUGUUUGUAAUCACUAUUGUUUUUACAAUUUUAUCCUUAAGAGAGAGAGUUAGUUUAUGUUUUCCAUAUGUUACUUAUUGCUGAUUGAAGAAAAAGAUGUAUAAUAAAUAGGGGCGUGUAUGUAAAGAAAUAAUUAAUGUAGUUGGAAAUAACAAAGAGGUCUUAUAAAAAGGGACAAAAAAUAUUCUCAAAAGGAUCUUAUAAUUAGGGACGGAGGGAGUAUAUAGAUACAACAAUUUUUGUUAUGCAAAUUAUAAUGUUUAUUUAUUUUAAUUUAACAUUAAUGCAUCCUUGAAGGACUGCUUAAAAAGAAAUAAAGAAACUCUAAUGAAUUCUUGAAGAAUCCAAUACUAAUGCACCCCUGAAGGAUUGCAUAAACAAAAUUUCUUAAUGAAUUCUUGAAGAAUUCAACACUAAUACUAAUGCAUCCCUGAAGGAUUGCACAUAUAAAAUUUUCUUAAUGAAUUCCUGAAGAAUUCAACAGUAUUACUAAUGCAUCUCUAAAGGAUUGCACAUACAAUAUUUUUUAAUGAAUUCCUGAAGAAUUCAGUUCUAGUGCAUCCUCAGUUAAAAAUCAAUUUUUUAUGAAUUUCUGAUGAAUUCAACAUUAAUACAUCCCUGAAGGAUUACACAAAUAAUUUAUCAAACUUAAUAUAGUUUUUGUUGAACUCAAAUAUUUAAUCCAUGAAGGAUUGCAAAAGUACUACCAUUUUCAUUAUGAUUGUCGUACGAUUGUCCUUGAUUAUAUUUAUGCAUUUUUUGUUGAAUAACAUUUGUAUAUGCAUAAACAACUGCCAUGGUAAAAUAUAAUGGUUAUUAAAGUAUGCAGGUUGCAUGAGUAAUUGAAUUCUUGUACAAUAAUAUCAGUAGCAGACUUGAUAUUUUUCUUUUGGAUAUGCAUGAGACAAUAACAUUAAACGUGUAUCAUUUUAUCAAUUAAUUAUGAGAAUUAUACUUCUCAUUUUUAAAAGAAGGACACGUAGUUAGUAUUCAUGUGUUGCAUUUAUCACGUUAGAAAUUGCAUCACCUAUUUUGUAAUAAUUAUCUUAUAAAUAAAUUAAUAUUAACUCAAGAAGUGUUUAUCAAUAGUAAUGAUAGGAACAAAUCAGCAUACAAUUUUUUUUAUGAAACAAAUCAGCAUACUAUUACACGUACUUAGCAUACAAAUUUAUGGAACAAAUAUUGACACCAACUACAACACAUAUUUAGGAACAAAUCAGCAAUUUUUUUUAACAAAACGAUGGCUGAAAAAAUAUAACACAAAUUUUUUUUGCAUAUAGUUAUAUAACACAGAUUGAAUAGCAUUCUUUUUCAUUCCACAGUCUGAUGAAUCUACUUAAUUUUCUUUUCUUACUCGUUACAUUAUCUAACUUGAUUAAUCUUAUAAUUUGAUGAUAGUAGUAAGCAUGUCAAAUCUCUCAAAACUCCACUUUGAGGCACUAAAAAUUUCUGGACACAACUAUUUGACUUGGGCCGUAGAUGCUGAAAUGUACUUAGCUGCUGAAGGAAAUGCAGAUGCCAUAAAAGAACGAAAUAAGGCAUCCGAACAACAAAAAGCAAAAGCAUUGAUAUUUCUUCGUCACCAUAUUAAUGAAGCACUUAAGAAUGAAUACCUUACUGUGAAAGAUCCACUUGUGCUCUGGAAUAAACUAAAAGAAAGAUACGAGCACUUGAAAACCAUUAUCCUCCCAAAAGCUAGGUAUGAUUGGAUGCAUUUGCGCUUACAUAACUAUAAAUCUGUAACCGCCUAUAAUUCUGAAGUAUACAAAAUUACUUCUCAAUUAGAAUUGUGUGGUGAAAAGGUAACAGAUGCGGAUCUGUUAGAGAAAACAUUUUCAACCUUUCAUGCAUCCAACAUGCUCCUGCAGCAGCAAUACCGUGAAAAGGGGUUUCAAAAAUACUCUGAUUUAAUUUCUUGUCUUCUGGUUGCUGAACAGAACAAUGAGCUUCUAAUGAAAAAUCAUGAAGCUCACCCUGCUGGUGUAGCUCCAUUCCCUGAAGUGAAUGCAUCACAACACAACCAUUUUGGAAAAGGUCUUGGUCGUGGUAGCGGUCGUGGUCGUGGCAAUGUCCAUAGUCGUGAUCGUGGUCAUGCCCACAAUCUUCAUGGAAAAUUCAAAACCCCAUUUUUCCACCAGAAGUGGAAAAAUAAUGAAAAGAUUGAAAAGGAAAAAGGUGGACAAAAUAGCAAAACAAAUGAAAAUAUCUGUUAUUGAUGUGGUGCCAAAGGUCAUUGGUCUCGUACAUGUCGUACUCCAAAGCAUUUGGUUGACCUUUAUCAGCAAUCACUGAAAAACAAAGGAAAAAAGGUUGAAACUCAUUAUGCUUAUAAUGAAGGUGAUGAUGCUGAUUAUGAUAUUUAUGGUGACAUGGAUACUACUCCUUUGGAUAUUGGUGAUUUCUUUGAAGAUCCAAAUGGAAAAAUUGAUCACCUUAUUGGAGAUGGAACCGUGAAGAAGUAGUUUUUUUUAUGAUAGUAAUAAAGUCUUAUGUUUUAGUGUGUUUUGAAUUUCUCCAUGUUAAGUGUGUUUUUGAAUUUCUCAAUGUUAUUGACAAUAAAAGUUACUUUCUCGUUGUUUAAAUAAUUACUUAUCAUUCUUAUUCUUCUUGUUUAUGUAUUUUUGUUCCUAUUUUUUAUAGAAUGAGUAGCUAUGGAGAAAUGUGUCUCGCUGAUAGUGCAACUACCCACACCAUUCUCAAAGAUAAAAAAUAUUUUUCUUACCUAUUAAAAGGAGAAUCGACCGUUAAUACCAUAUCUGGUACUACAAAGAUAAUUGAAGGCUCCGGAAGAGUUAAUAUAUCAUUAUGUGGAGGGACAAAAUUAUAUAUUAAGAAUGCGUUGUACUCACCUAAGUCUCAUAGAAAUUUAUUAAGUUUCAAAGAUAUUCGCCUAAAUGGAUACCAUCUCGAAACAAGAAAUGAAGUAAGUGUUGAAUAUCUUUGCAUCAUAAAACAUGACUUAGAUAAAAUAUGUGUAUUGGAAAAACUACCUACUUUUUCCUCUGGAUUGUACUACACUUACAUCAGUACAAUUGAAGCAAAUGUAAUUGUAAACCAGAAGUUUACAAAUCAUGAUAAAUUUGUGGCUUGACAUGAACGGUUGGGCCAUCCCGGAUCUAUAAUGAUGCGAAAAAUAAUUGAAAAUUCAUGUGGUCAUCAAUUGAAGAGCCAUGAGAUUCUUCAAUCUAAUAAAUUCUCAUGCACUUCUUGUUCACAAGGGAAGUUAAUAACUCGACCAUCACCAACAAAAAUUGGAAGUGAAUCUCUAAAUUUUUUAGAACGUAUACAUGGUGAUAUUUGUGGGCCAAUACACCCACCGUGUGGACCAUUUAGAUAUUUUAUGGUUUUAAUCGAUGCAUCAACUAGAUGGUCACAUGUUUGUUUAUUGUCAACUCGCAACCAGGCGUUUGCAAGAUUGCUAGCUCAAUUAAUUCGAAUAAGAGCUCACUUUCCUGAUUAUCCUGUAAAGAAAAUACGUCUUGAUAACGCUUCUGAGUUUUCAUCCCAAGCAUUCAAUGAGUAUUGCAUGUCCAUUGGAAUUGAUGUUGAACAUCCUGUAGCACAUGUUCAUACACAAAAUGGACUUGCAGAAUCAUUUAUCAAGCGUAUAAAGUUAAUUGCAAGACCACUUCUCAUGAGAAGCAAACUCCCAAUUUCCACUUGGGGACAUGCAAUUUUGUGUAACGCCCUAGUCGUUAUUUUAUUAUUUUUAGAAUUAGUUAGAGUCUUUUGUGUGUUUUUAAUUAAUAUAUCUGAUAUAUGUGGUGUGUAGUAUUUAUUUAUAUAAUUUAUUUAAUAUAAAUAGAAUAAUAUGAAUAAUGGAAUUAAUUAAGAGUUUGGGGAAUAAUUAGAAAUUAAUAGUAAUAAGGGAGGUUUUAAUGAAAAAGGAGAAGUUAUAGUUUUAGAGAGUUAAGGAAAGAAAAGUCAGAAAAACAGUUUAACGUGAAAACAAGUGGAGAAGAGAAAAGCUAAGGCAAGGAGAGAAGACCAAGAGAGAAGAACUUAGGAACUGAUUUUGCUGUGCUAUUUGUCUUUGCAAUUCUAAGGUAAGGGUGGGAUUAUCUUUCAAUAGUCAUAAUAUGUAAUUUCUGAAAAUUAAUCAAUUAAACUAUUCUUAAGGUAAAAUUUGGAAAAUAAGGGUUAAUGAUGAUUUUGAAAGAAAAGGUGUAAGAAUCAGGCUUAUAAUGUUGUAUUUGAAUGAUUAGUAUGAUUUCUUAAUCCAUGUUGUUGAUAUUGAUCGUAAUUGAAAUGAAAAUAGAAUAUGAUGGAUGAAUUUUGGAAGUUCUGUAUGAAUGCUUGAUUGGGCUGAAUUGAUGUUGUUGAUGUUUAGUUGCUGUUCCUUUUGAUGUCUGAUUGUAUAUAGGACUUGUAAACAUUUAUGGAAAACGUUUUGGGUGAUCAGGGGAUUAAAACUGGUUUUUGGAGUGAGGAGAAGUCUGAAAAUCGUAACUUUUACCCUGCCCAGAUGAGUGGUCGCUUAAGCGAAGCACCCGUCGUUUAAGCGAACAUUCAUGUAGCUGCUCAGGAAUUAGAUUUUACCCGUUCGCUUAAGCGAACAGUGAGCGAACUGGUAAGCGAAAAUUAAGUUUGAUUCUGCCAAGAGUUCGCUUAAGCGAGCCGUGAGCGACCCAUAAGCGAACUGAACCCAGACCUACUGUAAGAUGGUCGCUUAAGCGAGCUAGCCGUCGCUUAAGCAAACUGAGUGUUAGUCAGUCUUUUUCUGAACCUUGCUUCGUGCACUAAGGGAUCCUUUUGAGCACUUCUAGGUGUUCCUUCUAGCUUGUAUAACCUUUGUUUAGACAUAAAAUCCUACUUAAUUUAUGAUGAUAUUUAGUUGGUUAACUUUUAUGAAUUUUGAAGAUGUUGGAAUACUUGAAUCAAGUGAAUGAAACAUGUUGCAUUAAGGGGUGGUGAGUCAUAUGAGUACAUAUGCAUUUGUCGUUGAGUUGUAUGCAGAUAUACACAAGUGGAGUCAGUUGCAUAAGCAUAAAAAUGAUGUUAUGAUGAGGACUUCGGUCCUGAAACGCUUUGUCGUUCAAAAACGAUGGAACACUAUGUUGUUCAAAACGAUGUUAUGAUGAGGACUCAUGUCCUGAUAAAAGAAUGCUUUAACCAUUCUAUAAAGAUGAGGGCUUCGGCCCUGUUAUGGUACCACAUGCAUAGUUGCAAUUGUUGAGGAGUCUUAGUAGAGUUGUCAUGUCCUGCAUGAGUCUUAGAGGUGAAGUCGGGUUGUCACAUGAGUCAUUGUUUACUAUUUCUAUUACUGUUGGAUGAUGAAGUUGCUAAUGAUGCUAUACUAUAAUUGCUGAAUGAUUAUGAUGAUAGGGUGUUAGAUUCAUUUAUGUUAUUAUAUAUUAUUAUUAUUGUUUGAGAAUCUCACCCCUUCUGCUUGAAAAUGUUGCCCUUCCUAUGGGUAACUUGCAGGUGAUCCUGAGUAGUAGGUGGUGGCUCACAAUGUCUAGGGCUCUGAUACGUGGGAGGAGAUUUUUAUUGCUUGAAUUCUUUCCUAUGUAUCAUUUUUGAAAUAUUGUUGAUGUAGCCCUUUGUGAUUGAAUUUUAUGUUGAAAUGGCUUUCAUGCCAAGAAUAAUUAUUGUAGACUUAUUGAUGUUACAAAUAUUCCGCUGCAAGUUUAAUGACAAUUUUAUGAAUGACGUUUGAUUAAAUAGAUUUUUUAUAUACACUCUAUUUAGAAGACUUUUAAAUGAAGAAAUGUGGCAUGCCCGUUAUGGUUACUCUGAUGAUUGAUGUAUUAUUAUUAUUUUAAUUGAUUUUGGGAAACGGGGUGUUACAUUUUGCAUGCUGCAACAUUGAUUCGCAUCAAGCCAACAAGUUAUCAUGACUCUUCCCCUUUGAAAUUGGUUUUUGGUCAAGAACCUAAUAUUUCCCAUCUACGAAUUUUUGGAUGUGCGGUGUAUGUUCCAAUUUCUCCACCACAACGCACUAAGAUGAGUCCUCAAUGAAGGUUGGGAAUAUACGUUGGAUAUGAAUCUCCAUCAAUUAUAAACUAUCUUGAGCCCACAACAGGAGAUUUAUUUACAGCUAGGUUUGCUGAUUGUCACUUUGAUGAAUCAAAUUUCCCAACAUUAGGGGGAGAGAAAAUGCAGCUGAAAAAGGAAAUCAGUUGGAAUGAACUUUCAUUGUCUCAUCUUGAUCCUCGAACUAAACAAUGUGAACUAGAAGUUCAAAAGAUAAUUCAUUUGCAAAGCUUAGCAAACCAAUUGCCAAAUGCAUUCACUGAUCCAAAAAAUGUGACUAAAUCAUACAUACCAGCUGCUAAUGCUCCAAUAAAAAUGGAUGUUCCUGUUGGACUAUCUCAUAUUGCAAACGAGUCUCAACCACGCAUGAAGCGUGGUAGACCAAUCGGUUCCAAAGAUAAAAAUCCUCGAGCAAGAAAAGGAGCUAAAAGAAAAGAUGGUCCAAACGAGGAUAUAGAAACUUUAAAAGAGCCUUCUGACAUAAUCAAUAUUUCAGUUCCAGAAGAACCUAAUCAGGCACCUGAAAUACAUGAAAAUCAAGAGAUCUCCAUAAAUUAUGUCACCAAUGGAAUACAAUGGAACCGACAUGAAGUCAACGUUGACGAUAUUUUUGCAUAUAAUAUAGCGCUAAAUGUGAUGAGUGAUAACGAGGAUCAUGAACCAAGGUCUAUUAAAGAUUGUAGACAAAGCGAGAAUUGGCCAAAAUGGAAAGAUGCAAUUAAAGCAGAAUUAUACUCACUCAACAAGAGAAAAGUCUUUGGACCUGUCGUCCAAACACCUAAAGGAGUGAAACCAGUUGGGUAUAAAUGGGUGUUUGUGCGAAAACGUAAUGAAAAUGGUGAAAUUGCAAGAUAUAAAGCAAGACUCGUUGCUCAAGGAUUUUCGCAAAGACCUGGGAUUGACUUUAAUGAGACAUAUUCACCUAUAGUUGAUGCAACUACUUUUAGAUACUUAAUUAGUCUUAUAGCUUAUGAAGGGCUAAAUUUGCACAUGAUGGAUGUGGUUACUGCCUACUUGUAUGGCUCACUUGAUAGUGACAUCUACAUGAAGAUCCCUGAAGGAUUUAACUUGCCUGAUACAAAUAGUUCAGGAUCUAGGGAAGACUACUCCAUAAAAUUAAAUAAAUCUCUCUAUGGGCUAAAACAAUCUGGACGCAUGUGGUAUAAUCGGCUCAGUGAAUAUUUGCUAAAGGAGGGAUACAAAAAUGACUCUAUUUGCCCAUGUAUUUUUAUGAAAAGAUCUGAAAAUGAAUUUGCUAUAAUUGUUGUCUAUGUUGAUGACAUAAACAUAAUUGGGACUCCCGAAGAGCUUCCAAAAGCGAUAGAUUGCCUGAAGAAAGAAUUCGAAAUGAAAGAUUUGGGAAAGACAAAGUUUUGUCUCGGAUUGCAAAUCGAACAUUUAAAUAAUGGAAUCUUUGUGCAUCAAGAAACUUACAUAGCAAAAGUGUUAAAACGUUUCUACAUGGAAAAAUCUCAUCCAUUGCCUACUCCAAUGGUUGUUAGAUCACUAGACGUGGAGAAAGAUCCUUUCAGACCUCGAGAAGAAGGCGAAGAACUACUUGGUCCUGAAGUACCAUAUCUUAGUGCAAUAGGAGCACUAAUGUACCUUGCUAAUUAUACGCGUCCAGAUAUAUCAUUUUCUGUCAACCUAUUAUCAAGAUACAGUUCUUAACCUACACAAAGACAUUGGAAUGGGGUCAAGCAUGUAUUUCGUUAUCUUCGAGGUACAAUGGAUAUGAGUUUGUUUUAUCCUAAAGUACCCAAACUAGAAUUAAUUGGUUAUGCAGAUGCAGGUUAUUUAUCAGAUCCUUAUCAUGGUAGAUCACAAACAGGUUAUUUGUUUACAAGUGGAAAUACAGCAAUUUCAUGGAGAUCUGUGAAACAGACAAUAACAGCAACAUCAUCAAAUCACGCGGAACUUUUAGCAUUACAUGAGGCAAGUAGAGAAUGUGUUUGGUUAAGAUCCAUGAGUCAGCACAUCCAAAAGAAUUGUGGUUUAUCCUCCGGAAGAAUGGAUGAAACAAUAAUUUACGAAGAUAAUACAGCAUGCAUCGCUCAGUUGAAAGAAGGAUACAUUAAAGGAGACCGAACAAAACACAUUUCUCCAAAAUUCUUUUUCACUCAUGAUCUUCAGAAGGAUGAUGAUAUCAGCAUUCAACAAAUUCGGUCGUGUGAUAAUCUUGCAGAUGUUUUUACAAAGUCGCUCCCAAGUAAAGUUUUUGAGAAACUUGUACUAAGAAUUGCUCUUCGCCGUCUAAGAGAUAUUUGUCUUCAUGAGGGGGAGAAAUAAAUGUGUUCUGCACUCUUUUUUCCUUCACCAAGGUUUUAUCCCAUUGGGUUUUCCUGGUAAGGUUUUUAACGAGGCAAUUCAAACUCAAAAGGAUAUUGUACUCUUUUUCCUUCACUAGAAUUUUUUUUCCCACGGGGUUUUAUUUUAGUAAGGUUUUAAUGAGGCAUAUCCUCGAUGGACAUCCAAGGGGGAGUGUUAUUAUUAAUAUUGGAUGUCCAAAUAGAAAAUGUGUUAGUGGGCCAUACUACUAGGUUAUUGGGCUUAGUUCAUAAGCUACUCUAUUUCCCUAUAAAUAGAGCUCAUUUGUAACAUUGAUACACACAUUAGUGAAUAAGAAUACUGCUUCUAUUCUUUCUUCUUCUCCUUCUCUCUAUUACUCUCUCUAUUUACUUAUUUUCAUAACACAUAUACAAUAAUUUAUUAAAUUUCACUUAAUUUAACUAUUCUAUUAAGGGUUAAAUAUGUUUUUGGUCCCUAUAAAUAUGUCAACUUUUCGUUUUAGUCCCUCUAAAAUUUUCCUUCAACUUUUAGUCCCUAUAAAAUUUUCAAUCACUACUUUUGGUCCCUAUUUUUAAUUUAAUUUUUGUAUUUUUUAAUAAAGUUGUGCAGAAAUGUGUCAAAUAUUCUAAAAACAAUUCCUAAAAGAAAUUAGAUUUUUUUAACAAAACACAAAUUAAAUAUGAAUUUUUAACCAUAAACAAUAUAAAAAUUCAUAUUAAAUUCAUGUUUUGUUAAAAAAUUCUGAAUUUUUUUUGGAGUGAUUCUUAUAAUAUUUUGAAUUUUUCUGGAAAAUUUUAUUAAAUAAUAUAAAUUCUACAUAUGAGUUUACUUUAAAAGAGGGAUCAAAAGUGAAGAUUGAAAACUUUAUAGGGACUAAAAUUUGAAGGAAAAUUUUAGAGGGACUAAAACGAAAAGUUAACAUAUUUAUAGGGACCAAAAAUAUAUUUAACCCUUCUAUUAAUUACAAUCAUUGUUCUAGUGAGCUUAAUUAUUAAUUGAUAUGAACAAUGCAUAAUAUAUCCAAGGUUCAGAGUUCUACAAUCAUUUCCUUAAAAAUUGAAUUAUGAAUAUGAUAUAGCAUGUUAGAGUAAUUUUAUUGGAUAUAUAUAUAUAUAUAUAUAUAGGAUCCGUUAACACCAAAUCUUAUCCGUCAGUUAUUUUAAUCCAAAGGUCCAUAAUUAAUUUGUGUUUCUUUUUCUAGUGUAUCAUCACCCAGACACAAUUAUUGCUUUUAGUGAUUGAAAAACUCAAACCGAAAACAUGGAGCAAUGAUACUCGUAAUUCUCUCCUGGGAAAAUUGUUUUUCUCUUCCCCCAUUCCUAUAAAUAUUAGGCUUAAUUGAUCUGCUGGUCCCUUAACUUAUUUCUUUUAUUCAAUUUGGUCCCAUAAGUUUUAACUUUCUCAAACACGUCCCUUAACUUAUUUAUUUUAUUCAAUUUGGUUCAAUUUUGAUAAUUUUAAUCCCUUAAAAAAUGAGACCGUAGGAUUACGGAGGUCUAUCAGAUUUUAUAGUGUAUCACCAACACCUAAUUUAUUUAUUUUCUUCUUUUUCUUCCCUCAUCUUCAUCUACAUUCAUUCUUCAUCAAUAUUCAUCAAUAAAACCCAGGAAAAAAAAAAUUAAACCUACUACACCACCAUCAUUUUCAUCUUCAUCUAUCAUCAUCAACACCCUCCAAUCACUCCAUCAUAACCAUCCCAAAAUCAAACCCAAAAACAUCAUCAUCGAUCUUCAACGUUGUUGUUCCUUUUCACUUUGAACAACAUUGCUCUUUGUUUCAAUUCCAACCCGUUAACAUAAUCAUAAAACCCAUCAAGAACCCAUUAACAUAAUCAUAAAACCCAUAAAAAAAAACAUCAUUUUUUUUCAUCUUCAAACGUUAAUUCUUAGCUGGGUUGUAAAAAAAAAAAAUCCAACUUUGAUUAUUAAAGGUGUGAUUUUUAUCUUGCUUUUUGGUUAAAGAUUGAAUCUUUAUUGAAGUUUAAUGUGUUUUUUUUCAUCUGGGUUUUGCUUUUUUGUUGUUGUUGUUGUAGGUGUUGAACUUGUUGAAGUGAAGUUUAUUUGAUUUUGUGUUUGUGUUCAUCUAAUGGUAAGUGAUAAUUACCAGAAGAUGAUGUCUGAUGUAGCCGUUCGAUCGAUGGUGAAAAAUGGUGAUUACGUUGAAGAAACGGAAGAACAAUAGAAACACAUAAGGAAACAACAUAAGUGCAUCAGGAAUCAAAUAUUCAGAAGGAACAGAAUUGGAAAUGGAAUCAAAAUUGGAUUGGAAUUGAUUUCCCAACAACAAAAACGCAGUAGAACUAAAAGGUUAAAAACGCUUUUGAAACAGGAACAACAAUGUGUCAUGAAUCAGAGGUUUAAACCCAUUUUCUCCUUUUAAUCAAACACAUAAACAUCAAUUAAGCAACACAAGUAAACAACAUCAAUAUGAGAAAAGAAGAAGCCAAAUCUUCUCAGAUCUAAGUGUUCUGUUAAGGUGGUGGUAAUGGUGGUGGUGGUUUUUGAUUCGACAGUGAUGCCGAUGGUGAAGGGUUGGAGAUUAGAGAAUGAAAGAGACAUGAAAGUUGCACUAUUGAGAAUGAAGAUGAAUAGGAUGGAAGAAGAAGAAAGUAAAUAAAUUAGGUGUUGGUGAUGCACUAUAAAAUCUGAUAGACCUCUGCAAUCCAACGGUCUCUUUUUUUAGGGGAUUAAAAUUAUCAAAAUUGGACUAAAUUGAAUAAAAUAAAUAAAUUAAGGGACGUGUUUGAGAAAGUUAAGACUUAUGGGACCAAAUUGAAUAAAAGAAAUAAGUUAAAGGACCGGCAGAUCAUUUAAGCCUAAAUAUUAUUAUUCUUGUUUCUAUCUCCUUUCCCUCUUAUUUAACUCCUCCUAUGUAUUACAGCACAUGAAGGAAAUUUAUGUCAAUCUUAUUAUAACAAUUACAAUUGGAUGAGCUUCCUUCAAAACAAAAUUACAAAUUGGAUGAGUUUGCUUUUAAAUGAUUGGAUAUCAAAAAAGUGAAUUGUAUGGUUUUGGUAGAAUGGAAAACUCCAUUACAAUUUUAUUCUGAUUACGGCAUAAAAAAAGAAAUCUCAGCAAAGUCAUUGGCUUUGAAUUGGUACAAUUAGUAUGUAGGAGAAGAGAUCAUAGAGGAAAUUGCAUUUAACAACUAAUAUUUCCAAUUCAUUUUAAACAAUAAUAUCUUUGAAGUAUUUUAAUUAUUCAACUAUGGAGUAUUUCAAUUUUGCAGACAAGAGAAUAAGGAGAAUUAUGAUAUGAUUAUGUUUCCAAUUUAGGUUUUGUAAUCAUUAAAAACAAUAAUAGUGUGUGAUUGAAAAAAAAAAGAUACACAAUAAAUAAAAAUGUGGCACUAUUAUUAACUUUUGAUUAAAUAAGAUCAACAGUUGAGAUUUGGUGUCAACGAAUCCGUGAUUCAUUAUGAAACCCAUAUACAUGAUACCCAUAUACAUGAUACGAUACUUACAUUUAUACAUGAUACCCAUAUAAUAAAAAUGUGGCACUAUUAUGAAACCCAUAUACAUGAUACGAUACGGCACUGAUACGGCGAUACGGGAAAAUUUAAAAAUUUAAGAUACGAUACGGUUCAGAUACUUCAAUAAAAAAUUAAAUUUAAACUACAUAUUAAAACUUAAAAUACAAAAUAUGGACUAAAACUCAAAAGCAAAAAAAUUGGCGCAAAACCUACACCAAACAGACAUAAAAAAACGAUAAGGCAUAACAAUGAAAUUGUCUUCACACAACAAUCAAUGCACACUAGCAUCGUUAUCAAACAAACAAAGAGACACAAAACAUACGGCGACAACAAUAGAAAUAUAAAUGUAAGUAAUAUUGAUAUAUCCUAAAUAAAAAAUAUCAUUACGUAGUCAAUUACAUGUGUACCAAAUAUAAUAGAAAUAUCUGGUAGCCCGCACAUAUCAGUUUUCCACCGCAUAUCGCUCGUAUCCCAGAUGUAUCUUAAAAGUAUCGGAUAAUUAUUUUAAAUUUUUUUUUUUUAAUCUUCAGAUACUUUCUUAAUACAUAUCAAAAAGUAUUGAACAAACAUCGAUGCAUGAUACAUAAAAGAUAUGAUACAUCAUCUAUUUUAAAGUAUAUGAACAUCACAUGUGAUUCAUAAUCAUACACUUCAUAUCAUACCCUACGGAGAAAGAAAGAACCGACAAUAUUAGUAUUAUAUUGGACGCGAGGUUCACGCUAUUGUAUCCUCUGAAUUGUGUUUUUAGGAGUAUUCUCUGAAUUGUUAAUUUUUUAUUUAUUUUCAAGUAUAAUAUUGUACACAUGCUGAUUUAUUUUUUACUAAUGAAAUUUGGGUUAAAUAUGUUUUUGAUCCCUAUAAAUAUGUCAAAUUUUCGUUUUAGUCCCUAUAAAAUUUUCCUUCAACUUUUAGUCCCUAUAAAAUUUUCAAUCACUACUUUUGGUCCCUAUUUUUAUUUUAAUUUUUGUAUUUUUUAAUAAAAUUGUGCAGAAAUAUGUCAAAUAUUCUAAAAACAAUUCCUAAAAAAAAAUUAGAUUUUUUAAAAAAAAAACAAAUUAAAUAUGAAUUUUUAACCCUAAACAAUAUAAAAAUUCAUAUAAAAUUCAUGUUUUGUUAAAAAAUUCUUAAUUUUUUUUUGGAGUCAUUCUUAUAAUAUUUUGAAUUUUUGUGAAAAAUUUUAUUAAAUAAUAUGAAUUCUACAUAUGAGUUUACUUUAAAAGAGGGACCAAAAGUGAAGAUUGAAAACUUUAUAGGGACUAAAAGUUGAAGGAAAAUUUUAGAGAGACUAAAACAAAAAGUUGACAUAUUUAUAGGGACCAAAAACAUAUUCAACCCAUGAAAUUUUUACAUCAAUGAACAAGAUUUUUUUUUUUUUAACAUCUAGAAACUAACAACGUAAUCAAUCCCAUAAUGAAAGACAUCACACUAAAAAAAAUCUAAGAUUUGCUACCAUAAGUGUGCUAGGAACAUUUUUUAUUUUGUUGAUAGAAUGGUGUGCUAGGAAAUUUAAUGGUAGUGAAUAUCAACAUAAUUAACUACCAUUUGACUAAUUAGUCUUAUUUUGAUUUUUUAUACGUUUUAAUAAAUAUUGUAAAAUAUCAUUUUUGUUUAAAAAAAAAAAUCUCAUUAUCUUCCUUACAAAAAAAACUCAUUCUCUCUGAAUGCACAAACACCACACGACCAAAACUCUCACACUUCCGAUCACCGUCACUGUCACCGUAGCUUGCACCGAUCAACACCGGCUCUCCGAUCUACUCCGCCUCUCUCAUCACCAUUGUUUCUUUUCCGAUCACCACCGUCUCGAUCAAUCACAUCCUUAUGAGUUUACGAUCCAUUGACGCAUUCCUCUGAUCUGAAAUCUCUCUCUCUCUCCCUCCCUCCCUCCCUCCCUCCCUCCCUCCUCCGAUCUAAACUGUUUCUCAUCAACUUGUGUCUUUGAUCUUCGUUGAUUCUGCAAUCAACGAUCUCUCAUUUUUACCUCUUUUCUCAGGUAAUUUCUUAAACUAACAUUAAUUUCUAAUAUAUUAUGUUGAUAUUCACUAUCAUUAAAUUUCCUACCACAUUCAUGGUAGCAAAUCUUAGAUUUUAUUCUUGUAGUGUUGUAUAUGAAAAAUUCAAAUGGAGUUUUAUUUUUUGACAUAUUUUAUUUAAAAAAAUAUGAAAAGUUUCAAAAACUAACUCAACUUAAAUUAUUUAAUUAUGUUAAACCAACUAUAUAAAUAUAAAUGGAGGUUUAGUAGCUCAAUUAAUUUGAAGUAAGGGUUAAGUAGAUAGAGACUCUGAGUUCAAAUCCGGACGAAGGUGAAAAAAAUUAUAUAAAUAUCAAUAUUAAAAAAUAUUGUUUGAGAGAAAGAGAGAGAGUGUUUGUAUAAUAUUAAACAAGUCGAAUUAUAUAUAACUCAUUUAUAUUUUGAAUAACGCUCGAGUAGACUUGAUUUAUUGGGAGCUCUAACUCGCCCCCUCCAUCCCACAAUAAUGUUCAAUGAUAUAUUGAGUACUUUUUUCUAGUUAUUUCAUCUAAUUAAUAUUAUUUGUAUAACUAACAAUGGAUUGGUGCAAGUGGUAAGGACUUGAGCCUAUUAAACAUGUGAUUAGUCGUUCGAUUUCUGACUCUUGAGUAUUAAACAAAUCUAGUUGGAAGGGGAGAACCUGCCUUAUAUGUCCCACAAGUUUCUUAUGGUAGUCACCUUUAAAUGACGAUGUAAAAUUCAUACUAAUAUAACAAAACCAAAAGAAUUUGCAUCACACUCAAGUCAAUAUAUUACACAUCGUAUUUAUGAUGAUAACUCUCGGUUUCAUUUAUUCACUUUUUAAUCUGUUCGAAUGUCGUAGUGGAUGGAAAAAGUAAUUGCCUAAUUCUUAUCAGCAUGACAAGAAAAAACACAUAUACUAACAUUUUAUUAAAGAAAAGUUAGAUGGUGAAUUAAUAACUACCACCUACAUUUCCUCUAGGUAUUAGUUGAUAAAUGUUUUAACAAAUAGUUAGAAUCAAUAUAAUUAUUCAACCAACUAACUUGCAAUUUGAGGAGGUGUGUUGUAGAUAAGUAUGUAAGAAUAUUUCUAAUUAUUUUCAUUACUAGUAUUCUUCCAAUUGAUCAAGCCUAUUAGAUUUACAAUACUUUGUUUAAGCAAAUGAGCACUUAUACUAUUUUCACAAUUUUAAAAUAUAUUAAAAUUAUUUGUUUGCAUUCACUUUAAUAAUAACUUUUUAAUAAUCACUCUCACAUUAAAAGAGUAAUGUGUGUUAAAAAGAGAGUGUCAAGAUAAGAUAAGUGUUACUACCACUUUUCAUGUUCUAAUUAACAUGUGUUAAAUCCAAAUAAACUAUAGAUAAAGAGGAGUACUAUAAACAUUUUUUUUAACACUCACUCUUCAUAGAGUGUGUUCCUAGAAUUCAUCCUAGAUAAGUUGUUCCAUCUCUAAAAUAAAUUAUUCCACACUUACACUUAUAUAAUUAGAGAUGAGAAUAGAGCUGGUCGAUGAUUACUAUGCAACGCCCCAUUAUUUUAGUUUUGGUUUGAUCCAUGUUAAGAUAAAUGCAAACUUUAUUCCCUCCCUGGAUUUGGAAUAUUUUCUAGUAUUCUAAAUUCUAAUUGAUUAGAACUAUGUUACUAAUGUAUAAUUUAAUUUUUAAAACCUGCAUCUCUUUACUACAAAAGACCAUUCUAUGUUUCACGCCUAACUAUUGAUCUAUUGAAUUUAAAUCGAGUCAUGAUAAUACAACAAUAAAGCUUUUGCACUGACGUAAUCUUAUCUGAUUCAAGAGGUUACUCUUCGCGAUUCCACGCGGGGAUUUGAAUAUAUUUUAUACAAAUGUGCAUGUGUGUGUGUGUCUGCAUAGGGUAUUCUGUUAAAAAAAGUCGAUUAUUAGGUUGGAAAAUCGUUUAACUUAUAAAACACACUUUUUAAACAAGAGUUUGCAACAUAUAUAUAGUACUCCUAAAAGAAAUGAAAUUUCAACAGAACAACAAUAUUUUUUUGCAAGGAAACAAAACAUAUGUAGUACUAUAAUAUAAGGAAAACAGAGUUGCACAAUCUAUUGAUACAUAAACAUUAUAUGUUUGUAUUAUUGAAAUUUUGUCAUUCUUAGUGACCUUCAAGUUGAGACUUCAUAGGAAUUACGUUACAAGGUUCAUAGCAGAAGUUAGUGUGAUCCAUACAUCGACACUGCGGUGGAAUUGUGCUUUUACAAACACAUAAUUUGCAAGCUGAGUUGCAUUUAUUUUUCACAAUAUCUGCACAACGACACAGAGGAGGGAUUGUUGUUGUGCAAUGACAAUUAUCACAACACGAUGUUGUGAUCAAUUUGACAUUAGAAAGCACUUGAGUGUUGAGGGAGAUUGGAUCAAAGCGAGCGUCAACUGUUGCUGUGAAGUUCAACAAGAAAAGCAAUGAAGCCACGUUCAGCAAGGCCUUGUUCAAUUCCAUCUCUCUCUGAUUUUGUAAUAUAAGGAGGCUAGCAAUUAUGUAUUUAUAUAUCUCUUAAUUUGAAGGAAUGUAACUUAUAAAGAUCUUUGGUGUCCAACAUUGACACCACACUGAUACUUCAAAUUAAAACUAUGUCUAGUGCCCAAUGCUUUUCAGCGGUGUAUGAGAUUGACACCACGCCCACGCGAUGUCUUGGUGUUGGAGUCAGUGAUUCAUAGAAUGCAACUACAAAAUCUACUUUUGAAUAAAUCUCUAUGCAUUGUAUUGUUGAACACUAAAAUAUGACGAUUUUAAGGGGUUGCCGGUUUGUGGUGGAGUGUUUUGAAGAAUCUUAUUCGGCAUUUGAUGACACUUUAUAUGCUUUUCAUAGGUUAAUUCCGCUUUCAUGCUUUGUUUUGUUGCAUAGAUAUCAUAUUUCGUUUGUAUCAUGAAAUUCCAUAGUUGAUUAAUGACCGAUUAAUAAAGUAAGUAAUAUUUUUUUUGACAAGUAUAAAGUAAGUAAUAUAUAUGGUUAAUUUGUCUGUUAAUGAACCAUAGUUUGUUCUUUUUACUAAAUUAAUGAAUAAUAGUUGAUAAACUAAGGAUUUGCUAUAUAUCAAUUAACUACGGAAUUUAGUGAUGUUACAAUACUUUUAAAUAUACAUGGACAUGGGGACACUCCACCAGACGUGACACUGACACAUAAACGUAUAAUACUUUAAGAAAAUAAAGAUGAUUAAAUUGAAUGUAUAACAUGUGUCAGUACUGCCCAUGGUGUGAAUCAUGACACAUGCCAAGCACUAGAUGCGCAAUUGAUCUUUCGAUGUUACAUAUUAAUUAACUUAGCUGAUUUAUUUCACUUAUGAUGUUUCUCCAUUUGAUUAUCUUGAGACUCUUUGUUUGAUCCAAAAAGGUAGUCUUUCACAGUACUCUCUGCUGAAAUGAAAGCACGCCCUUCUUAAUCUGACAUCAAAAGAUUGAACCAUCAGAUGCUAGAUGCUGGAAAGGAAAAUGUUCCUACCAUUUCUCUUCAGUAAGAAAGAAAAUAUUCUUAGCAUUUGAGCAAAUUAAUUUUUUAUACAUGGCAUCUUUUCAGCUCUUGAUUUUGGGGUCAAUGUGUAUGCGUGUCCACUUAAAAACCUUUAGCUGCUCUAAAGCAAUGAAUAUUGUGUUUGGACUGGUUUUACAACCCAAAAAGGCAUAGCGGCGCAGAGGAAUUAAAAAUUAGAAACACAAAUUUAGCAUAUAAUAGUAGAAGAUAAAUGACAUAUAACCAGAAAUAUGAAGGCCACUUUGGAAAUUCAGGAUCAAACAAUUUUGUGGCUUUAAUCUCUGUUAAGUUUUCUAUGAGCAAGUCAAUCUUGUUGCAUAUGAAUUGAGUUAGUCAGGGAGAGAAUGCAUAUAUGGCUAAUCCUCAAGUUCUAUAGUUGAUGUCAAGUUACAUUGCCACUUCUAUAUAAUGACAUAAGUGACAAUUGUUUUGGUAAAAAUAAAGGUGUAUUAAAUUUGACACGUUGGUGUCAAAACAUAUCCCUCGUGAUUUAAUAGUUACGCAAAACUCUUUAAGCUACGUAUCAGUAAGCAACGACCAAGGGAUAAAACUACUAAAACUCUUGUUUUAGGCCCGCCAACAAUUUAUGAAGAAGACAAAAAGUCCUCGUAUAAUAAAAUUUGUUUUAAGCCUCGCAUACUUUUAAAAACUAUUGUGCUGGACUCUAGUAUCAUUUCAAGAGAAGAAUUUUAAAACACAAUACAAUUAGUGGUAACAAACAUUUAUUGGCGAAAACAAACAACAUUAUCAAGUAACUUAUAUUCUGAUUACCAUCCCUAUCUCUGAAUCCUAGUUACAUGGUGGAUAGCAAAAGUUGGUGAUAUCAACACAACGACAAAGAACAGGUGGUGAUGGUAGACAUGCACAAAGUUUGCAAGCUGAGUUGCAAGUUUUAUUAAGAUCUGCACAAUGACAUUGAGGAGGCCUUGAUUUUGUGCAAUAACAUUUAUCACAACAUGCUGUCGCUGUGGUUGUUGAUUUUUUGACAUAGUAACUUGCAUCACCAUUGGGGAGAACUUGAGUGACGAGGGAGCUUGGAUCAAAGUGAGCAUCAAUUGUUGUGGCAAAACCCAAGAUAAAAAGUAACAAAACUACCUUCAUCUAUAUGAUAUCUAUUUUAUCCUUAAUUGUAUACGAGGAAGCAAAUAAUUGGCAGGUCUAUAUAUAUAUAUAUAUAUAUGAAUCUGAUUUGAAUGAGACCUAUAACUAGUGACAAUGUCUUACUUUACUUCCAUUUUUAGAAAUGUAUACAUCAUCAUUACACAAACGUACAAUUUAGGGGCUGUCGGUUAGCAUAGUAUCAUAGUUGUGGAUAAUCUUUGUGAGGUAUUUCAAGAAAUUUCCAUAAUUUUCUAUUCUCUUGUUUUCUACAAUACAUUUACCAAUUGAAAUGGUUUAGUACAUUUGCAUUCUAAACUAAUAAAUCAACGAUAAAUUUUAUGAAUUAAGAGUGUGUUUGGAUGGAGGAAUAUUUUGAGGUAAUGUAAUGUUUUGAAAGAAUUUAAAUUAGAUUUGAAGUGAUUGAACGACUAUCAACUGUCUCUUUUUUUUUUUUUUUGGUACAUUAUCAACUGUCUUUUUAGUUAAAAUUAAAACAAUCUCAGUUAUACAAUUGUGAUCAUCAUUCAUUACAACACCCUCUAGAGAAUCCUAUUCCCAACUUGACCGGCCUACAAUUUGUAAAAGACAAACUCUAUGGCCUAGUAGUAAUUUUAUUCAAUUGAUUAUUUAUUUAUUCAUUUCAGUACAAAAAAAAAAAAAAAGCCUAAAACACUUUGUCUCAUUACACCCACGCAAAUUGUUUUUUUUCUUCUAGGAAAUAAGCUUCUUUCAUUGACAUGCUAAAGUACCAUGAGUCCAAUCAAAAUGAUCAUAGACUAGGACAUUGUCCAUCUAUAUUUUAUGAUCAGAAUACAUUAAGGCGUUAACGAAACCAAAUCGAAAACUUAACAACCAAACUAAAAUCUUCCAUAUGUGAUCAACGGUCAACAAUAAAUCGAGAUCUAUAGUCUUUGAAUUCAUCCAACUUCCUAAGAUAUAUUUAUAAGUGUUCACCCAAAUCCACUAUAUGUAAUCUUUAAGAUGACCAAUUGUGCCACAUAUUGAAAAGACAUUUGCAAAGUCAAUAGAGUACUAGAUUUAAUUAUAGCUAUCAUAAGCCUCUUACUUCUUUCAAAAAAAUAAUCAUAAGCCUCUUCCCUGAGAUAUAGUACUUAUUAAGCGGGUCCUUUUCAAAAAUAUUAUCAAACAUACGAGGAGCAAAACUAAAGCAAAUUAAUAUAAAACCCAGCGGGAAAACAAGCAUAACAAUGAAACGAAAAAACAUAAGUAAAAAUAAAAACCUUAGGAUCUAUGACAUGUUGAUUCGUCAAACAUUAAUCGUAUCCAUUAAUAGUUUCUUAUUAAUAAUAUUGAAAUACAAAGAAAAAGAGGAUAACAUAAGCACUUCUUAGCUUUUGGUUUUGUAUCAACUAAAACCUAUUAUAUCAUGUAACCGUCACUUUGGUCCUCGAAUGUGUAACGAAUAGUCACAAUAGUUUUUCAAUGUAUCAAAAUUUUAAAAUAUAUAGUCUCUAAUUGUGUACUUUAUUAGUCAAAAUAGUCUUUGAUGUUAAAAUAUUUCAUUAAUAUAGUCAUAUUUGCAACCCACAUGAGUUGACCUAGUGAUAUUGGUUUGGGACUUGGAAGUGUGCUCGUCUUCAAGGUCUCAGGUUCGAUUUUCUCUCUAGUGUCAAUAUGGGUGAUCUAAUUUAGCUUCCUCAAAAUAAAAUAUUGUCAUAUCAGUCUUUCAAUAUACUUACUUAUUGUCAUAUCGAUCGUUAUAAGUAUUUUAUUUUAAUCCCUAUAUAAACAAAGUUCUUGUAAGUAUUGAGAGAUUGUUUUGGUGUCAGAGGCUACUUUGAUUAACAGAGUGCACAAUCAAAAACUAUUUUAAAAUUUUGAUGCAUUGAGGAAGUGUUGUGACCAUUUAUCAUACACUCAAAGAUCAAAGUGAUUAUUACCCUUAAGGCAUUCUUUAGUUGAAGAGAAAGAGACACUAUAAUUAUAUGUAGUAUAUUGUGGAUCAUAGCUAAUUAUUCAAUAAAAAUUUAAUCAAACUUAUUACUUAAUUCAUAAAAAAUAAUAGCUAAUUGAGAUAUAAUAUUAAAAUAUCCAAAGAGGAUAGUAAAACGAACAUAAUUUGACCCUCCAGUUUGUGAAAAAACAAACUGUAUGGGCUUUAUGUAAUUUUAUUAUUCCAUUAAUUAUUUAUUCAUUUUCCAUACACAAUAAACAAAGCUUAAGAGGCUUUGUCUCAUUACAAACAUGCAUAUGGUAUAUAGUUAUAAUGAAACUUGCUCAUUCAAAUGAGCUCUAGUUAACAUUCAUUACAGUCUUGCUCGUAAUCAUCGCAAGUACACCGCUUAGGUUGUUUGCAAGUACAGUAUUUGCAAGUUGAUUCACAGGUUUCUACAAUAUCUAGACAUUGGCACAUAAUAGGAAUCCAUUCAACAUAGAACCAUUCAACAUUCUUACAGCACCUGUUGGUUGUCGAGUUGACAUCAUUGGAGGAGAUCACUUGAGUGAUGAAGGAUUUUGAAUCAAAACGAGCAUCAAUAGUUGCAAUGAAGCUUAAGAGGAAAAUCAACAUAGCUAACUUUAUCAUUGUCUUCUUGUUCAUCAAGCCCAUUAUUACUCUCUUUAUAUCUUUCUGUUUAAUAUCUCUAAUUUAUUUGACUUGUGAAGAGCCAACCAUGUCUGGCUCUAUUUAUAAUGGAGUGCAAUAAGGGCUAUAAGGGUCUUGUUUUUCAAUUCAUAGGAGGUAUACCACAUAUUAUAAAGUAGAAUAUGAUAAUAAUGCUAUUUUUAUACAAGUUUCAUUUUCAUAUUUUUAUUGUUUAUUUAUUUCCAUUUAUACAUGUGAAAAUUAUUGUUUUUUAUUUUUAUUUCGUAGCCGACUUCUGUUGUCGGAUUAUGGAGAAUCUUAUUCAUAUCUAUCAUAAAAGUCCAGUGGAGGAUUAUUUAAUAAAAAUAAUUAAAUCAAGGAUGACAUACAUUAUAGGCUAAAAUAUGGUUUUGGUCCCUGCAAAUAUAUCUCGUUUUGGUUUUAGUCCCUGCAAAAUUUUUUUGUUGUUUUUGGUCCCUGCAAAUAUGUCUCAUUUUGGUUUUGGUCCCUGGGUCCACUUUUGUGAUAAUUUGCACACGUGUCACAUGAUGACUUAACCAUUUAUUAGAGAAAUAGUCCCUGCAAAAUCUUUUGAUUUUGAAAAAGGUCCCUGCAAAAUAUUUUGUUUUUGGAAAUAGUCUGAGACUAUUUCCAAAAACAAAAUAUUUUGCAGGGACCAAAAACAACAAAAUUUUUUUGCAGGGACUAAAACCAAAACGAGGCAUAUUUGCAGGGACCAAAACCAUAUUUUAGCCUACAUUAUAAGGUCAGACAAAAUUAUCAACCUCGAACAUAGAAACAAUUAUGUAAUAUGAAAUUGUUGUGUAUUAUGGCGAGCUUUGUUUACCAAGUAAUUCGCACUAAAAUAAUUAAGUUUGAUGAAAUUCAAUAAAUAAGAGUAUAAUUAUAAAAAUAAAAAGUAAAUGAUAUAUAUUAGUAUUUUAUAGUAAUAAUUAUUUUGAGACAGAGAAAAAAUAAAAAGACAAUUAUAUUGAGACAUACUGAAUAAUUCUUAUUGAGUAGAUUAAUCUAUAAAGUUCAGACUUCAUAAAAGGUACAUAAACAACUAUCUAUUUGUAUUAUUGGAAUUUCUCAUUCUUAGUGAGUUUAAAGUUCAGACUUCGACUCUGUUUGAUAAAAGUAGUGAAUAGCUUAUAGGUUAUAGUCGAUGACUAACGAGUGAUAAUUGAUAAAUUAGUUAAAGUGUUUGAUAAAAUUAAUGGUUCAGCGAGGUGAUAAAUGUAAAUUAACAUAAAAUGAUAUUUUUUAUUCAUAAUAAUUUUUUUAGAGGUCAUAAAUAUUUAAGAUACUUGGUCAUUUAAAUUUAUUAUUUUAAUCGAUAUGUAUUUUUGGUUGAAAUUUUGUUUUUUUAUUUUAUCCAGUUUGUAUACUUUAUGAAUGAAUGAAGUAUACAAUUUUAUUUUAUGGAUAAGGUAAAAAAUAAUCUUUAAUAGGAUUAAAAAUGACAAAACAAAAAUAGUGUUAAAAGAAUAGAAAAAAUAAAUUAAAGAGCAAUGAUAUUUGUAAAACAAUUUGUUAAUAACUUUUGUGAUAACUUUUUUUUCUUUUUCUUUUUAUUGGUCAAAAACAACAGAGAGAAUAAAUAAAAGAGAGAGUAAGAUCAUAAUAUGAGUAUGAAAUAGAAAGUUAUCCAUAAAUUAUCUCAUAAAAUGAUCGUACAAUAUCAUUUCUCAGAAACAAAAUACGUGAUCUAUAUGUACCUAUAAAAAUCAUAUGUCACUUAUUUGUCACUACAUUAGCGUUGUUGGAAUAUUGAUUUGAAACAAGUAGUAUGUUUAUCUUUUUUAAUCAAUUGAAAACUAAUAUAAUUGAUAUCGAUUUGAAGCAAGAAGCGAUCAAGAAGAUAGACGAAGACUACUGCAUGCUAUCAUAGAAGAUUUUGAUCUUUAUGUUAACUAAUUAGUUGUAACUUAGAGAUAUCUAUGUUAAUACAUUAGUGACUAUACAUUUCUGACUAUUAUGCUAUAUAUACAUACAUAUUUUAUGAUAUGUUUAAGUUUUAUUUGAUAAAUAAUAGUCUCAAUUUUAAUGUGCCAAAAAUAUAUAUAUUUCCCUUAGAAAAAUUAUAUAUGAAUAUAUAUUUUACUUUAAAUUAAUAAAAAUCACUAUCUGUAAAAAUAAUAACAAAUCUGACCAAAAAAAAAAUAAUGCUUUUCCUAGCGCUUUUUUCUUGUAUAAAGCGCUAUCUAAACCUAAUGUUACAUAGCGUUUUAAAACAAAAAUGCUGCUUUUUGCUAGUACAUGCGUUAUUUUAAACCCCUUUUAGAUGGCGUUUAUUAUUGAAAGCGCUAUCUAAGGAGGGUCUUUGCUACAAAAAGCGCUAUAUAAACCCUACUUUAGAUAGCGCUUUACACAUAAAAUAAAGCGCUAUAUUACCUUUACCAGCGCCAUUUACAGUAGCGCUUACAAAGCGCUAGCUAAAGCAAAAAAAAAGCGCUAUAUAAGCCCAUUUUUGUAGUAGUGAGCAGUUUCCUCCAUGAGAUAACGUUGAAACUGCUGUCGACAGGGAAGAUAAUUUUAAUCAACAGAUUGAAGAACUGGAAUAUAACAAGUACUUGGAAUAUAAUUGAAAAAACAAGAAGCAGAUGAAUUGGAAUAUAAUUGAUAUUUAUUGGGAAAAUAAUUGGAAAAUGAAGAAAGAAAGAAAAAAAAAAAGAACAAAAACUAGAAGCAUGAGAGUCCAAGGAGGUCUUAUGAACAAAAACUAGAAGCAUGGGAGUCCAAAGACUAUAAUUGAUAUUCAACAUGGAUUGAAUCAAGAUAUGAUAGUUUUAUCAUAUAUCGUCUUCCUAUUUUGUGCAUCAAACGGACCCUAAUAGUUUCUUAUCAAUAAUAUAUAUUUUUUUUUUACCAAAACAAAGUUAACUAUUAUCAUUAAUCAACCAAUGUUCAAUACAAGAAGAUAAGAAUAAAAAAUACAGUGACUAGCCCAAGAACAGACCGCCCUAGCUAAAGUAUGAGCAACCAUGUUCGUUUGUCUCCUAACAAACUUCACCUCGAAGUUGGAAUGUAAAGAUAACUGAUAAAUAAUACUAGAAACAAUAGCAUAGAAUUCUGAAUCACCAUGGCCCAGAGACGAUAGAGCUUGCACUAGAGUAGCUGAGUCAGACUCGAAGACAACCCGUUUCCAUCUGUUCACAUCAGCAAAGUGAAUGACAUCAAGUAAACAUGCUACCUCCCCCUCCAAAACUGUCAUAUUUGUCCGCUGUCAUUUCGUUUGAGCCCGAAUAAACUGGCCACACAUGAGUCUCUAAUACAACAUGCAAAAGAUAUAAUAUGGAUGGAAAGCGGCAUCAACAUUGCACUUCAACCACGUCUCGUGCGGUUUCUCCCAAACUGAGCUAUUACCUUGCACUGUAUUUUGUCCGUGUUGCACAACCGAUGGUGAGGGCUGUUUAUGAACCUCUUGUCAUUGCUGUCAUGCAUCUAGUGUUGUCCUUCCAAUAUGCUUGUUGAAGUAUGAUGAGUGUCAUUCCAAAUGACAUCAUUACGUGCAAUCCAAAUUUGCCAAAGAAGUAAAACCACCCGACCAGCCAUGUCUCGACUUUUUGAACAACAUAUGUCAAAAACAAAAUAUGUCAAACUACUCACAUCGUACAACAGCUGUAUCGCACCAGGGGCAGUUCUCCUCACAUUGUGCAUGUCGUGAUUGUAGUCUGAGAUGCAUCGGAACACACCCCAUGCAAAUCCUCCAUAGCAAAUUACGUGCUUUAUGAGGGGAAUUCACCUUCCAGAUUCUAUGUCACUCUCAUUCAACAUGAAGUCGAUCAGUGGGUAACAACUCCAUGAUAGCCAGUUUAUAACCAAUCUUAACAAUAUACCUCCCAUUACGUUCCAUACCUCCCAUUACAUUCCAUCAUCCGCGCUAUUCUAUCAUUCUGAACUUCCACAAUAGUGGUGUGUGUUUUUUGAUACAAGAUCUUGGCUUGUGGUUUUGUAUCAACUAAAACUUCCAAUGUCUUAGAUGUUCUUUAGAUGAAGAGAAAGAGACAAUAUAUUUAUAUAUGGUAUAUUGUGCAUCAUAGCUAAUUAUUCAAUAAAAAUUUAGUAAACCUUAUUACGUAAUUGAUAAAAAUACAAUUAAUAUAUUUUGAAAUAUAAUAUUAAAUAAAAUAUCCGAAGAGGACAAACGCAAUUUGAUUAUUUAAUCAUUUUCCAUACACAAAAAAGAAAAACAAAACCUAAGGGCUUUGUCUCAUUACACACAUGCAUAUGGUACAUAGUUAUAAUGAAACUUGCUCAUUCAUCUAACAUUGUAUACAAUAUUCAUUGUAAUCAUCGCAACUACACUGUUUAGGUUGUUUACAAGUACACUUUUUGCAGGUUGAUUCGCAGGUUUCUGCAAUAUCUACACAUUGGCAUGAAAAAGGAAUCCCUGGACUAAUGUACCAUAAAACAUCAUUACAGCACCUGGUGGUUGUCGAGUUGGCAUGGUUGUUCAUCAAGCUUAAGAGGAAAAGCAACAUAAUCAUUGCAUUCUUGUUCAUCAGGCUCAUUAUAUCUUUCUGCUUAAUAUCUCUAAUUUCUUUGCUUUGUGAAAAGCCAAUCAUGUAUGGCUCUAUUUAUAAUGGAGUGUGAUAAGGGUUUUGUUUUUCAAUUCUUGUGAAGAGCCAAUUAAUCAUGUAUAACUCUAUUUAUAAUGGAGUGUAAUAAGGGUUAAGGGUCUUUGAAUCGAAUAAAAUAGAAUGAUAAUGCUAUUUUUAUACAAGUUUCGUCUUCAUAUUUUUAUUGUUUAUUUAUUUCCAUUUCAUAUGUUUAUUGAGUAAACAAAUUUUAAUGGAGACUUUAUGAAUUAUUUAUUUUAAGAAUUGUGAAACCAAAUAUUCAUUAAAAAAACAAUGAUAAAUUUUAGUGAGAGUUGUAACUAUAGGUAGAAUUCAUUGUUUACAGGGGGUCUUUUAGGAAUUACCUUCAGUUUCGUCCCUAGGUAAAGGUCUAAAAUAGUAAGGAAGCUUGAGAUUUACCUACGGAUUUGGGCCUUAUAGUGACAGUUUUUAUCUGUCGCUAGAAGUCAAAUUUCAGGUACAACGUGACCCAUUAUCCAGUUCGAUAAUUAUAAGGCAACUAAAAGGAAAAUCUUAAGUGUGUGUGUGUCAAUUUCAAAUGUAAUUUUUGCAAAAAUUAGCUUAGCAUUGAAGGUAAGUGCCACCAUCCUGAUAUGUCCCUGAAAUAACUAUUCAUUUUAUUUUAUCUAUCAAAAGAGUUCUUACACUACAAGAAACUCUCGAUUUUCCUAUUGACAAAAGAGACAUGGUUGUAUAAGCAAAAUUGUCUUAGAUUUUCAGAUUUUCUUGUUACUUUAUUGUUGCUAUAUAUUUAUUUCCUAACUUUGAAAUUUACAUUAUCAUCUGAUUUCCAUGUUUUAAAUUUCCUUGUAACUAUAUUUUCUAAUUUGUCUUUUUUAGUUAUUGUCUUGCUUCUUAGUUUAAUUAUUUUUAGAUGCAUCUCUACUAACUGAUAUAUGAGUUUUAAUUUACUGCAGAAAAUCAAUCUCAUAUGCUAGACCCAAUUUCAGUUGGUUAAACAAAAGCGCGGACGAAAUUGAUAAGAUACAUUUUUUGAACAUUUUUUAAUAGAUUAAAAUUUAUAUAAAUAGUCGGUGGAUUUGAUGAAAGUUGUUUGUAAUAAGUUUCAAUCAAAGUUGAAACUUUGAGAUAAAGGGUUCAAAUCCUAAUUAGAAUAAUAUUAACCUUACUUUGUUUACCUUACAACUGCAAUUCGGGAUAUCAUACCUCUUUUUCAUGAGAAAUGAAAUGUUAAAGAAGUAAUUUAUAUGAAGUCCAUCUAAUUUAUGUGAGACUUAUACAGUAUACACAAAAGAUGUGGAUGGACUAAUGAGCAAUUUUGAUCAUGUUAACUACAUGAAGAUCUAAAUCAUGAUUUCAAAUAAUAAUAAUAUAUCUAACGAUAAAGAUGAAUUCAUAUUGAUCAUCUAUCCUAACUCAACUGUUAAAAAAUGUCGAUUUUUUUUUAAUAAGUCAAACUAACGCAACAAAAUUGGUACAGGGAAAUAUGUCAAAAUUGUUAGAUCGAAUUUCUUGACCGAGAUUCCAUUUAUGACUCUUCCAUGCAAUGCUUUAGGUUCCAAUUCCGACUUUUCAAUUUAUGUGUCUGAGUUUAUAAUUUCUUUUAUAAUUUUAUUUAUUAAAAAAAUGUGUAAAAAAAAUAAAUUCUCAAAAAAUAGGAAUGCAUAAAAAAAAUCUAUGCAAAAGGAAACGGGUAUAAUUUUAGCCUUUUAUUUAUUAAAAAAAUGUGUAAAAAAAAAAGAAAUUCUAAAAAAAAUAGGAAUGAGUAAAAAAAUGGGUAAAUAAGAUUUUUUUUUUUUUUAUAAAGAUGUUGCGUAGCUGUAGGGUGGUGUAGGAUGGUUUCUUCCUAAUUGGGAAGAUAAAAAACCAAUAAAAUGAAAAUAUUGUUGUCACGGCUAAUUAAAACAUGCCACGUCACUCAUCGUAGGGAGGAUGAAGCUUAUGCGACAAAAUUUCCUUUCUUACAGAUUUUCUGUCCCAUUUAUGAUUCUUCCGUGAAAUUAUUUAGGUUUCAAUUCCGACUUUUCAACUUAUGUGCCUGAGUUUAUAAUUUUAUUUAUUAAAAAAAUGAAUAAAAAUAAGAAUUCGUCUAAAAAAGAAAAUCUAUAAAAAAAGGAAACGGGUAUAAUUUUAUUUAUAAAAAAAUGAAAUUCUCAAAAACUAGAAAUGUGUAAAAAAAAAAAGAAAAAAAAAACGUGUAAAUGAGAUUUUUUUUUUUUUUUUUUUUACAGAUGUUGCGUAGCUGUAGGGUGGUGUGGGAUGGUUUCUUCCUAAUUCGGAAGAUAAAAAACCAAUAAAAUGGAAAUUGUUAUGAAUAUUCUAAGUGAAUGUCCAUAACCUUUGUGCUUAUCUCUUAAAUCACACAUUUCUGUACUUAUCCUUUAGGUACUUAACUAUUAAGUUAUCUCCUUAUACAUCUCUAUAAAUAGAGACCAUAUGUAACAUAUUGAAUACCACAAGAGAAUAAUAGAAUCAUUCUCUAUUCUCUUUCUUUCUCCUUCUCUACUUCUCUCUACUUUAUUUUUGUUCCUAUUUCUUUAGUUUCAUAACAGAAAUAUUGUUGUCACAGCUAAUUAAAACAUGUCGUGUCACUCACUGGUGGGAGGAUAAAGCUUAUGCGACAAAAUUUCCUUUCUUGCAAAUUUUCAAUUAUAAAAGGAGAGUCACACUCUCUCAUUUUUCAUCAUUUUCACUACUCUAAGCCUUCUCCCCUAAAAUCCCAAUAUCUCAUUCCUUUCAGCUACAAUGAAUGUGCUUCCAUCUGGUGUUGAUAUUUACCCACCGAGGAGAUUCUCCUUGGCUACCACCUUGCCUCUCGUAUGAGAGUACUGAAAAUCAUUGUUGGUCAAUACUACACACUCCGGUCACUAUUAUAAGCAAAAAUCAAUAUUUUUUAUUCAUUAAAUUAAUGAUGUAUAUGAUCUUUAUUAUCGAUCACAUCCCUCCAAAACUCGCAAACAAAGCCUUAAGUUCCUGAUUGACUUCAUUCAUCUUGUCAUCAGAGUCAUCACCAACAGCGUCACCUUCAUCAACAUCAGAUAAGGCUCCAAACUCAACAUCUAGAUUCAUCCCUCAAGGGCAAUCAAAAAUACGACAAACAACAAAAGGUGCCUACACAAAUUUACGAAAUGAUUUUCCAACAAAAAUACUUGCAUGCAUCAAAAAUCUCGGGUUCAUAAAGGUAAAUGCGUAAAAAAGGGGCAAAUUUUAGCAGAUGGUGCUGCUACUGUUGGCGGUGAACUCGCUUUGGGAAAAAACGUAUUAGUAGCUUAUAUGCCAUGGGAAGGUUACAAUUCUGAAGAUGUUGUACUCAUUAGUGAACGUCUGGUCUAUGAAGAUAUUUAUACUUCUUUUCACAUACGUAAAUAUGAAAUUCAAACUCAUAUUAUUGUGUAGGCUUCUUUUGUUCUUUGGAACCUACACAAUAUCUAAUUCAUGGAACAACCAUCUCCGCGAUACCAAGUAAACAAACUUCCAUAAAUCGGCAAGUCCACCAGAAAUCUGUCGGCAAUGAAUGUGUUAAAAAUAUCUAUUUCAUAUUGACGAAACACUGAACCACGGCUCUUCUCUCAUCCACCAGAAAUCUGUCGGCAAUGAAUGUGUUAAAAAUAUCUAUUUCAAACUUCCAUCUAUUUCAAAAAUAUCUUUUGAAGUUUACUCUUAAACCUGAAACUUAUUGAAGCUUUCCAGAGGUUUGUUUUCUAUGUUUUUGAAUUUAAGAAAUCUAUUUCUUUUCAUGAUUUCAAGUCAAGCAAUUUCUUUCAUUUAUUUUUACUCACAAUUUAAUUUUCAAGCAUUUUAUUUUCUGCAUUCAAAGUUAUUUUAUUUAAAGCAUUUAAACUCGCACAAAUUUUAUAAGUCUUUUAAUCCAGUUGUCUUUAUAUUCAAGCUGUUUAAUUAAAGUUAAUUGACUCUUUAAUCCUUCUCAACCACUCGAAUUUACUAUACUCUUUUUUCAAAAAAGACUUAAAAGGAGUAAUUUCAAAGACAGAUUAAAAAUAAAAUUAGAAGGUAGUAAAAGAAAGACUUUAACCCUACAGUUUGUAAAAAAACAAACAGCAAGAUCAAGUGGUAGUUUUAUUUUAUUGAUAAUUUAUUCAUUUCCAUACACAAAACACAAAGCCUAAGGGACUUUGUCUCUCAUCACAUGCAUAUGGUAGUAGGUACAUAGUUAUACUCAAACUUAGUGAGAUCCACCAUUGGAGGAGUAGCUACAUGGUUCAUAGCAGAAAUCAGUGGUAUCAGUGCAACGGCACUGUGGAGGAAAAGAUCUUGUGCAAAGGCAUCUUUUGCAAGCUGAGUGACAUUUUUCUCCAAUAUCAGCACAGUGACACUGAGGAGGAAUUGAUUUUGUGCAAGGGCAGCUAUUACAGCAUGCUGUUGUUGUGGAUUUUACUUCGUAAGUAGCUUCACCAUUGGAGAGCAGUUGAGUGAUGAAGGAUGAUCCGUCGAAACGAGCAUCAACAACAGUUGAAGUGAAGCCCAAAAGGAAAACCAACAAAGCUAACUUCAUCACCAUUGCCUUCUUGUUCAUCAUCAAAUCCAUUAUCACUAUCUCUUUCUCACUUAGUAUUAUCAAUGUAUCUUUUCUUUGUGAUGUAGGAAACAUGCAACUACAUUGGGUCAAUUUAUAGAGUGCAACCAGGGGUAUAUAUGUCAUUUUCUUCCUUUCUUUCUUCUAUUAUUUUUCUUGAAAAGAUGCAUUCAUCACAUGCCUUACAUUAUUAUGAUUAUAAUAGUGUUUAUAAUAUGAUUAUCAUCCCAAAGCUUAAGAUGAUAAGAUUCAUUUUCAUAUAUUAAAAUUUGUCCUAGAACUAUUUUUAAAGGUCCAUAUUAGACACAUACCAUAAAUUUAUGAGUUUAUCGUUUCAAAUUGAUGCAAUAUAUUAUAAUAGAUACAGAUGUUGAUCAUAAUAAUUAAUAAUUCAUAACAAUUAACAAUCGAUCUGCCUUCAACAAUAAAAAAAACACAAUUGAUCUAGAGCCUACAGCAUGAUCCUCGUGGCCCUUAUUCAAUUUUCUUUUUAGAUUUAAAUAAAGUUUUAGUCUUCAUACUUUAAUUUAUUUACAAAAUUGAUCCUCCUAUGUUAAUAUCUCCAAAUUUCGGUCCCUCCUACAUAUUUUUGGAUUAAACAAAUUAUGAUGUGAUAUAUAUUUUUUCAUGUGCCAUAUUUUAAAUGAUAUGUCUUACAUAUGAUGAUUUUGAAUGAUCAUCACUUGUGAGUUAUUCAUUUUUUUAAAAGACAAGAUAAGAUGUCACGUCAGGAUAUUUUGAAAUCUUUUAAAAAAAUAUAUAUUGAGAAAAGAAAUCUUUUAAAAACUUAACUAUUCAUUUUUGUAAUUUAAUUAUAUAUAUCUCACGUCAUUUAACAUAUUGCUUUUAAGUCAAAAUGUUGAGAUAGAGAUCAAAAUUAAUGAAUUUUAAAAUAGGUGAUCAGUUAUGUGAGCGAGUGACAAUAGGAUGAUGAAUAUAGAUUUUAUAUUUCUAUUUACUUUCGUUUUGAUAGUUUAGAGAUACAAUUUAUCAAUUAUAACUUUUCUUUAAUUUAUUUGUGUUUAAUAAUAGGACUAACAUCGAAAUACGUUUAACGAUGAAUCCAUGUGUUUCUUAAUAUCUUUGAUAAAUCAACAUGCAUGCAUGAUGUAUAUUCUAUUUUCUAUGCAUGCUGAUAUGUUUAUUAAGCUUUCGCAUUAAAACAUGAUUAUAUUAAAUAAAUACGCUCUCUGAUCUCUAUUAUAUGUAAAAUUUCACUUUUUAAAUUCAUUAAAUAACUAAUGUAUUUAUAUUAGUUAUUCAAUAUAUUUAAACAAUAAAGUUUUGUUAAUAAUAGUGACCGAAGAUAGUAAUCGUUGGUUAAAGCAUACCUAGUAUUAAUUAAUUGUAAAUUAUUUCCAACAGAAAAAGCCUCCAAACAAAUAUAACUCAAAACCUUCGAUGUUCUUACACUCCUCUAAAUUAAAGGCCUCUAAACACAUUGCGUAGAUUGGGACAACAAUCCAUUGAUAGUCAAGUUGUCUGCACAUGAUACCCAUUUCGAAAAAAAUAAAAUUCUAUAUAGUAAAUUUUGUUGAAAUUUAGUGUAUUUUAUGCUGCAAGCCGGUGUAACCCCCCACCAACCCACACACACAUUAUGCACUAGAAUUAAUUAAAAUCUUAAACAAGUAAGAUAAUGACAUUCUUUCAGAAAAAGAAAAAAAAAAAAAAAAAGUAAGAUAAUGACUGGACUUGUUCACCACCUCGCUCUUGUCUGCUUGGGACAUGUAGCCGACAACGCAGCUUGACCCUUCAACAUUUUUACAUAUUUUUGUUGAAUCAGAACUUCUUGCAUCUUUAUCUUUCACAUGUCUCAGGUAAAUUUUUCGAUAUCCCACUUGGUAUUCAUGGUGUUCGCUUAAUUAUUUUUCUUGUGCUCGCAUUAGUUGUUGUGAAUUCGUAUCAAAACUCAAACCAAUGGUUUGAUGUGUGGAGAAAAAUUAGCACCAAUCAAACCAACGAAAUCAACCAAACACAUACAUACAAUAAAAUAAGAUAAAGUAGAACAAAAAGAAGAACAACACGGUGAUAUUUGUUCACCCGGUUCGACCCAAAUUCGACUUAUGUAUAAAGGAGAUAGAUCUCUUUAAUUCAGUACUAAUGAGUUAACCAGAAAGUUAUAAGAAAUUAGUUUUCAACCGUAAAACACCGGUACCACGGUUGGCUUGGGAGAAGCAUAAAACGAUAGAAUCAUUAGCUAAGAGCAACAACAUAAGUAUAGUGUUGGACACCAAAUCUUCAUCUCAAAGAUAUUGUAAAUAUGAGUCAUCACUAUAUACAUCUGAUAUAGUGAAGAAGGAGGAGGAGGAGGAGGAGGAUAAAAACCUCGACAGAGAUUGCUUUUUUUUAGUUACAGUUUAAAUUUACAUAAAUCAUAACAUGUGAAAAACAUGACAUCUGCACAAUAACAAGAAGGAGUUUCUGAUUCUGAAUCUCUAAUGCAAUCACAUUUUUUGCAAGCUGAGUGACAUCCAUCAUCUCUACAAAUACAUUGAGGAAAAAAAUGACCUUCUUUCACAUAGCACUCACAUUUAUCACAGCAUGCUGAAUGAUAAAUAACAUCAUAAGUAUCUUCACCAUUGGAGAGCACUCGAGUGGUGAAUGGUGUUGAAUCAAAACGAGCAUCAACAAUAGUUGCGGUGAAGCACAAGAGCAAAAGCAACACAGAUAACUUCACAAAUGUAUUCUUGUUCGACUCCAUUACUUUACAAAUACAUUUAUUUUCCUUGUGAAGAGGCAAGUAGCAGUAGCAGUACAUGGUUCUCUAUUUAUAAUGGAAGUAUUGAUAUUUUUUUUUAUAAUAUACACGUCUUUGCCAUUCAAAAUAUAAUAUAAUAUAUACGUCUUUGUACCUAUUAUAGUUUAUAGUUUAUAUAUACAAUAUUCAUAGUAAAAACCUUUCAAAAAUAUAUAUAAUACUUGAAGUAAAAAAAACAAUAAUAUACAUAUCUGUAUGCCAAGCAUCGGUUAUUAAAC